CGAGGCCUACUGCGACGGCAAAUACAACGUGGUGGCGCGCUCCCCGGGGGAGCCCGACGCCACCAAGUUCGACGUCCACUUCUCCUCCAUCUUCGCGCCCUGGCACCGGAUGUACAUCUACUUCUUCGAGGGCAUCCUCGGCGAGCUCGUCGGCGACCCGGCAUUCGGCCUGCCCUACUGGAACUGGGACGCCCCCGCGGGGAUGAUGCUGCCCGCCGCGUUCACCAAUCCGGACUCGCCGCUCUACGACGCCAACCGCAAGCCGGAGAACGAACGUGGCGCCUUCAUCGACCUCAGCCUCUCGCCCAAGGUCAAGUCCGAUCCUAACAAGUUCAAAGACGACCUUCUCGGCCUCAUCGACAGCAACCUCUGCGCCAUGUACCGUCAGGUACGUCCUUGCUCGCCGCUUAUUUAGUUAACUCGCUUUAAUUUGCUAACAACCGUCUAUCCAGUCAUUGAGAUUCGUGCAAAAUUCUUCUUCUUCUUCUUCUUCUUUCAGAUGAACGUGAAAGAGCCGGUAGAUUUCCACGGCGGCUAUCCGUCGAGAACGACAAAGCCCCCCGUAGGAUCGCUGGAGACGGGGGCGCACACGGCGGCGCACAUCUGGGUGGGGGAGCACAUGGGGAAUCUCAAGACGGCGGCGCGCGACCCCGUCUUCUACUCCAACCACUCCAACGUGGACCGCAUGUGGCACCUCUGGAGCACCAAGCUCGGGAACCAUGAGGACCUGACCAACGACCAGUGGCUCAACACCAACUUCGUCUUCUACGACGAGACCAAGCGGCCCGUGCGCAUCGCCGUCCGCGACGUCCUCGAUGCCGAGAAGCAGCUCGGGUACACGUACGAGGAGAAGAAGAGCCUCGAGUGGAUGGAGAGGCGAAUCAAGCCGGCGGCCAUCAAGAUCGACGACAGGACCCGCGACGCCAAGGACAACUCCUCGUUACCCUUGGUGCUCAAGAAGGGCAGGAUGGAGUACCUGCCGGUGGAGAGGCCAAAGAAGGACGGCACCAAGACGGACGAGGUGUUGGUGGUUGACGUCACGCUGGACCCGUGCGAGCAAGUCAAGUUCGACGUGCUCGUCAACGUGCCCAGAGGCGAGGAAGACAAGGUGGGCCCACAGAACAGCCAGUUCGCCGGAUCCUUCUCCACGGUGCCGCACGGCGGCACCAUGACCGGCUCCGCCACGACGAAGCCGGUCGUGUCGUGCCGCUUCAAGCUCCAGGAGCUCAUCCAAGACCUCAACUGCAACAGGAGCAAGAUGCUCAACAUCACCCUCGUCCCGGUCGAAGGUGACAAGACCAUCGUCGACAACCUGCGCGUCGAGCUUUGCUGAUCUAUCGGACUAAUUAAGAUACAUUUAUAAAUGCGGCGUUCAUAUCCCCAACAUAUCCAGGGCACUCGGAAAUUAUGUGACGACUAUUGCAUGUACUAGUAGAAAAAUAAAAGAGUCCAAUUCUUAUCCUUUUAGUUCAUUCGGCCAAAAUAUAUAUCCUCAAGAGAACCAAUAGAAACGGGCAAAUUUUCUCAAGAACAGAAAAGAAAAGUAGGCUCGUUCAGUACAAUCCUUUCCGGUUCUAUUUGAAGGGAAUGAAAGGGAGACGGGAAGUGCCGGAUUGCAGUUCAUGGCUUUCAUCCCUUCAAGAUGGACGAGAGGUGUGGUGGCGCAGGAAGUUAUCCGCUUGGCCGAUCCGACCUCAGAUAUGAUCAGAUUUCCAGGCCAAAAAAUCUUAUGAGGGGCGAGUUGAACGAACUCUUUAUUCGACAAGCCAAACAUCCAUCUCACUCCCUCCGUCCCGAAAUAAUUGACUUGAAUUUGUAUAAAUUCUUAUUUAAAUCCAUUUCACUUAUUUCUGGACGUAGGGAGUACAUUAUUUAUUCAGAUUACACCUAAGUUUUGCUUGGUGUAAAAGCAUAUAUGAACGCUUCGCAACAUUUCUCGAGUAAUUUUAGUAUUUUCUUCCAACGCGAUUUAUACGAAUAAAGCAAGAAAUGAUAAGACAGACAAUCGAAAGAUACGAGAGGUUAUCUGUAGCAACAGCUUUCAUGAAUUCAGUAGAGACAGACAUACAGUGAAUUCUUCCCUAAAAAGAAGACAUACAGUGAAUUCUGAGCCCUCUUCUUCUCCUUUUUUUUUUUGGAAGAAUGUAGUAUACUCCUUUGACACCGCAAUUUUACUUUGGUCGGCUUGUCGCGUGACUGCCUGGCCCGUGGGCUUAGCGCACGCAGCCUGGGCCGUUCGGUGCGGAGCGGGCAGGUCUCAGGUCGAAAGUGCAGCCUGCUUGGGUUUUCCUCGAGGCCAGACUCCACAUCCGGAUUUAUCCGUGGAGCCCCGAAACCGCAGACACCUGCUGCAUCCCUCCCUGUCGAGGUAACGAAAAGCUUGGAAAAGAUAUCUGUUUGGUUGAAGAAAUCGGCCUGAACAAACCAAAGUGGUGACCUGGCCGGGAAGAAUCUCGCACAUUCCCACGGCCAAAAAGCCCAAAGGUGCCACGAAACAACCAAAGUUGGGCAUGCCAACUUGCCAUCGCCUCCACGUCUCACGCUUUGCCCAGUCUCUGUAUGUAACUUUUCGUUGGACGAACACGUCAGCACCACGUGGACUGACACCCCCCGCGUACGAGUCCGUUGAGGAUAAUAACCAACGGAGAUGGAGUCCUUCCGGUCGGUUUUCCGACGUCCGGCGGCCAGUCUCGUACACUACGUAGAGAGAGUGAUCCGCACGUACGUCCGGCCUGGCUCCGGCGUCGGGUCCUGCGCUGCGCGAACGAACGAACGGCCUGCGUCUAAUCCCGUGACGUGACGGAACGGUGUGCUCGUCGGAGGCUUUUCCACCACGCUUGCUGUUGUUGUUAUCAUCUCCCGCGAGUAACUAAAAACCUACUGCUGUGAAGCUUGCUCUGCAACGGCCAGUUUUAUUAGCCCCGGUGAAUCCAAGCGUCGGUCGGAAUUUCGAGUUGAACACUAAAUGAUGUGUAAACUUAAUAAUUCUAGACUUUAUUCCUCACAAUCCCUCUGUGGGGUGGUUAACUUUAAAGGAAUUUCGCUGUAUAUGUACCUGUUCUUUGGCAGAUCACCGUACCAUCGAAGAUACACAUGUUUUGGUGCCUACUUAGUAAUAACAAGCUGCUCACCAAAGACAACCUGAGGAAGAGGCAGGAAUUAAAAAAAUAGUACUUGUUUGUUUUGUACCAAACCUGAAUCUAUCACUCACUUAUUCUUUGACUGUGUGGUAGUUAGAUUACCUUUUCAAGAGCUUGCUGAUAUUAUUCACACAACUGGCAACCUUCUAGUUAUGCAAUAAACGAUAAUGGGACACUUAACAUGAUCACAUCUGCUGUUGUCUGGACUGUCUGAAAUUUUCGUAAUGACUUACUCUUUGCUCGACACAUAUGGACGAAUAUACAUGUCUUGUGGAAGAACUUAUUGUGCUUGUUAAAGCGCUGGCAACCGCUGUGUCUGAAAAAGAACAUCCAAAUCUAGAAGACACCCAGACUGCGAUGAGCAAGAAGCGAGGAACACUUCUGACGGGCCCUGGGACUUCCAUCUUGGCAGAAGCAAAAAGCCACCAAAGAGCAAUGGAAUUGGGACUGCCUGACAAUCUAUAGCUUUUAUGUUGAUAAACGACUUAGCUGCCAAUUGUUUUAAACCUCGUGCUUGUAGAGAUCGAUGACAUCAAACCCUGACUUGAAAAUCCCUGAAGUUAGCACCCUCAACUCUUUAUUCCCGGUCUAUAGUUGCCAAAACAAGGUAUCCAAACAGGGAUUCGCUGACAAUGCUCACAUCACGAAAUUGCCUUUGGGAUGGUCCGCUUGCAAACUCUGCUAUUGCCUUCGUAAUUAACUAAUCUGCUACCAGCUAUUCUUUUUUUGAACUCGCAACGCUGGAUCAAAGAACUUUAUUCAAAAAGCAACACCCAACAAGUACAACGACGGUAUUAGAACAUGGAGCGUCGUGAUUUUAUUUGUGCUCAUGGAGCCAUGGAUAACCCACCCGCCUAUGUAAGAUUAGAACAACUUCCGAUGGAUACACAGAAAUACUAAACACAAAGAGAUAUACUAAUCCCACGUGAGCUUGAUCUAGAUUGGACCAAGAUGUAUACUAAUCCUACGAGCUGCUGCCGCGAUGGUGAGGCCACUGCACCGGCUAGCAGUUCGGCCGUCGGCGGCCAUGGCUAGCCUUCGGCCGUCAGCGCCAUGGCAGCCUUCCCCUUCUUGCCGGUCUGAUUUGCCCGGCGGUUCGCAUGUCCAGAAUUUCCAUCUAUGAUCCGAAGGAAGAAGAAGAUAUCGGGCCCACGAAUAAAAUCAGAACGGUCGGGAAAGAGGGAGUACAGACGGAAGCAUAGACGGGACCCAUCCAGUCCAUGUGGCUUGAUUUAGUCCUAUUUAUAUCCCUGUUUUAAAAACUAAAGACCGGGAUUAUAAAGUUGAGGGUGCCAACCUCAGUGAUUUGUAGGUCAAGGUUUGAUGUAGUGUACCUCUACAAGCAUAAGGUUUAAAAUGGACUUGAAAUUCUACGUUGUUUUCGGUGCUGCUUAGCUCCUGCUCGUUUGAGUUGUGGGCGUUGGCCUGUAAGCCCUGUUCAUGACUGUGUGUUUCGUUUCUCCUGAAAUGAAACAUGACGAUAAGCCUUUCAUGUAAAAAAAAACGACAGUGGAUGGAUCCAGGUUUUCUUCUUCCAGAAUUUCGUACGCACUCAUGUCUUAAACUAAGCUGCGCUGACGUUAGCAUCAAGUGGCCAAAAUCAGCUAAUCUCCAUCUCCCAUUAAUGUGUUCCCCCAAUUACUCCUGCACACUUCUCUCAUCCAAACUGCAAAACCGCAACUGGCCUUUCCGGCUCGUGGAGGUCGGACCCAGGCCCGUCGCAUCCAACUAACUGUCGACCCCACCUGGCAGCCACCCAUCCAGAAUCGACCCCGUGGCCGCCACGCCCCGGCUCCCCGAACCCUCCGAACCCAAACCACGGUCAAUCCCGAACCGGAACCCAUGGUUACCACACGCUCCGUCCCUCCUCCAAGCCCCACAUCACACCACAGCUGACAGCCCACAUCGGCCAUCUGCACGCCCGCCCACCAACCCCUCUGUUCCUCUGCCUCCGGCUCCAUCCCCCGAGUCGCCCCUCGCCCUCCGUCCAUGUAUAAAGCCGCCUCCUCCGCCCGCCUCCUGCUCAGAUCCCUUUCCUCCUCCGCGUCGUCCCCCUCCUCGUCUUGCUCCCCCGCGUCGCGCCUCGUCGCCUCCAGGUGCCUCGCGCUCUCGCGGCCGUGCGGCGCGUGGCCGGGCCGCGGUAGGGUGCUCCCAGCCUCCUCCUCCUCCUUCACCGGGGUCCGCGCGCAGAUCGGGGCCGUCGCCGCGCCUGCCGCCGGGACCUCCUUCCACCGCCGCAGGAUGGCCACCUCAGGUGCGUGGGUUCGUUCGUUCGUUCCUGCUGGGCGGGCAGGGGUGAUCCCGGGUGCCGAGUCCUCUGCCUCGACCUCGUCGCUGUCGUGUCGUCUAGUGGGCAUCAUCUCCCUCUCAAGCACGCACCCACGCACGCGCCCUGCUCGUGUGCGUGCGUGGCAACUUUGGGAAUAUUCGAAUUGGGAAUCGCGGAGGUUCCAACUUAUGAGCUGGAGAUGCGGAUGCGGUGUUCGUUUUGCGUUGAUUUGGAUUCGAUUAUCUAGUAGCUGGGAAGGAUCGGCGAUUUACAUGCUUUUUUUUUAGGUUCAAAGCGGGUGAUGCGAUGGCCGCGAUGCCAUGCGGAUUUGUUCCAUUUCUAGUUAGCAUCAGCCAUUCAGCCAGCAGAUUCUAUCGGAUUCAGGUUAGCUCGCGCGGUGCUCGAUGUUAGAUGAAAAGACGUGUAGGAUUCGGAUGUGCGGGAAUAGAUUCCUAGUAGCACGCACUUUUUUCGAGGCAUAUGCCUUCCGUAUCUGCUCCAGUACACUCGACGGGCCUCCCUGUUCGUCGUCAUCUUUCAUUUCAUUCAUGUGCUGCCAUCUAGAAACACAGCUCUGCUUAGAUUUGAUCGUUUGUGAUUUGAAGUUGUGAAUAGUCAUGCCACUGCUCACUGUUGGUUAUCUGCCAUGGAAGAUAUAUACUGAUUAGGUGAGGACUUUGUAGUUUGGUGGUGUGUUUUGUAAGGUGCAGGUUCGAAUUGAUACUUUUUUUUGUAUCUCUGUUACGAGGGCCAGUGUGAGUUCAGUGUAGUAGUUGAGAUUAAGUUGAGCUGUCUAGGAUUCUUAUAUUAUAUGCGUCCAACGAGUAUGCAUUACAUCUCCAUUUUCUACAUGCUCACGUAAAACUAACUAUAGUGUCCUGUUGUCCACCUUGGUCUUCUCGGGAUAUGUAUGUUAAGAGUCUUAAAAUGUGAUUAAUCUUUAACAACACUCCAACCUCACAGCUUAUCCAGUUGACUUUGAAGCAGCUUCUGUUUAAACAUUGGUCUCCUUAACUUCACUUUUUAAGUGUCUCCCGACAUGGAAAAUGAUAAUAUACAACAUGAACGGUUUAAGACAUGCGUCAAUUUAUGAAAGAAUCAAGAUAACUGAUCGAGUAUUGUUUUUCAUAUUUAUUAGCCUUUCUUCAUGGCUUCCUGCUGGUUAGGGGCGCGCAGUCUGGUCACGGGCAGGGUUGAUCCCCGGUGGCGAGUCCUCCGCCUCGACCUCGUCGCUGUCGUGUCGUCUAGUGUUCAUCAUCUCCCUCUCACGCACGCGCUCUGCUCGUGUGCGUGGCAACUUUCGGAAUAUUCGAAUUGGGAAAUUGUGGUGCGGCUCCUGUAGGGCGGAGAUUCCAACUUCUAAGCUGGAGAUGCCGGUGUUCGUUUUAUGUCGAUUUGGAUUUCACGCUAGCUGGGAUCGCGAAUCACAUGCUUUUUUAGGUUCAAAGCGCUGAUGCGAUGGCCGCGAUGCCAUGCGGAUUCGUUCCAUUUCCAGUUAGCAUCGGCCAUCAGAUUCUGUCGGAUUCAAGUUAGCUCGUGCGGUGCUCGAUUUUUAGAUGAAAAGACGUGUUGGAUUCGAUGGGAAUAGAUUCCUUGUUAGCACGCACUUUUUUCGAGACAUCUGCCUUUCGUAUAUACUCAGUACACUCGAUGCGCUCCAUUUUGGGAUCUAGAAACGCAGCUCUGCUCUAGAUUUGAUCGUUUGUGUUUUCAAGUUAUGAAUAGUCAUACCACUGUUCACAAUUGGUUAUCUGCCAUGGAAGAUAUAUAUACUGAUUAGAUGAGGGCUUUGGAGUUUGGUGGUGUGUUUUUAAGGUGCAGAUUUGAAUUGAUACUUUUUUUUUGUAUCUCUGUUAGGAGGGCCAGUGUGAGUUCAGUGUAGUAGUUGAGAGUAAGUUGAGCGGUCUAGGAUUCUUAUAUUAUAUGCGUCCAACUUGUAUGCAUUACAUCUCCAUUUUCUACAUUCUCACGUAAAACUAAUUAUAAUGUCCUGUUGUCCUUGGUCUUGUUGGGAUAUGUUAAGAGUCUUAAAAUGUGAUUAAUCUUUAACAACACUCCAACCUCACAGCUUAUCCAGUUGACUUUGAAGCAGCUUCUGUUUAAACAUUGGUCUGCUUAACUUCACUUUUUAAGUGUCUCCCGACAUGGAAAAUGAUAAUAUACAACAUGAACGGUUUAAGACAUGCGUCAAUUUAUGAAAGAAUCAAGAUAACUGAUGGACUAUUGUUUUGCAUAUUUAUUAGCCUUUCUUCAUGGCAUAAUGCUAAUUAUGUUUCUGUUGAUUUCCUCUGACUGCAGCUACUGAGCAUGCCUUCAAGAAUAUUUUGACCAGCCUCCCUAAGCCUGGGGGUGGUGAAUUUGGAAAGUUUUACAGCCUUCCUGCACUAAAUGAUCCAAGGAUCGGUAAUUUCUUAUCUUUCUUUUGCCUUGUCUAUUACAACCUAUGCUCUUAUUUGGGUUCUGUCUGUUUAGUCUGAUUAUUGCAUCCUUUUUUUUUGUGUAUUUGUAGAAGAUGCAAUCUAAGAUCUGUACUAGUAACAUUAUGUGUGCAUGUUAAUCUGCUAUUAUUGUUAUCUGACCGACACAGACUUUCUUCUCCACCCCAUCAGAUAAGCUGCCCUACUCUAUCCGUAUUCUUCUUGAGUCAGCUAUCCGCAACUGUGAUGACUUCCAAGUUACCAAGAAUGAUGUCGAGAAAAUCAUUGAUUGGGAGAACACAUCUCCAAAGCUGGCUGAGAUACCUUUCAAGCCAGCACGAGUUCUUCUUCAGGUUUUCAACUGAAACAUCACACAGAUUACCCUGUUUCUCCAUGCCUUUUGCUUACAAGACUUUAUUCUCUAGGACUUCACUGGAGUCCCAGCAGUUGUAGAUCUUGCAGCUAUGCGUGAUGCGAUGGCCAAGUUGGGCAGUGAUGCCAACAAAAUCAAUCCACUGGUACAUCUUAUCUCCUUGUUAUGUGAAAAGUUCCAUCAGUUUGUUCUGAACCAUCUCUGGUUUUCACAGCAAAAUUAUUUCGAGUGGCCCAUAAUUUAGACCAUAUGUUGCUGAUGACAUCACUAUGCGAUCAUCUUAACAUAUUUAUCUAAGUUUAUUUGGCUGAUAUACAUAUUUUCAUAUGGUUUGCAGGUUCCAGUAGAUCUUGUUAUCGACCACUCAGUACAGGUGGAUGUAGCAAGGUCGCACAAUGCAUUACAAUCAAACAUGGAGCUGGAGUUUAUCCGCAAUAAAGAGAGAUUUGGUUUCCUUAAAUGGGGCUCAACUGCUUUCCAAAAUAUGCUGGUUGUCCCCCCUGGCUCUGGUAUUGUUCACCAGGUAGAUGCUCUGGAUUGAAGGAAAUUUUUCUGUUGGUCUUAUAUCUUCCACCUGACCAACGCCCUGUUUCCAUUUUUGAUUUCUAUGCAAAUUUCAGGUCAAUCUUGAGUAUCUUGGAAGAGUUGUAUUCAACACAGAUGGCAUUAUGUACCCUGAUAGCGUAGUUGGCACUGAUUCACACACCACUAUGAUUGAUGGUUUGGGUGUUGCUGGUUGGGGAGUUGGUGGUAUUGAAGCAGAGGCUACAAUGCUUGGGCAGGUAAUUCUGAAGUGGACCUCUACCUACUUGAUUGAUAUUUCUUACGAUCUUGUAGUGAGAGGACAAAUGCACUAACAAUGAUCUCUUUGGAACAAAACAUUGUUUUUAAUAUCCCUUUGCCAUACCCCCAAAAGACAGUGGCAUUCCUGUAAAAGCAGCCUACAUUACUGUAAUAUGGUAAUUUGUGGAACGUCUGUUGAAGCAACUUAUUGGCUGUCCUUUUGGCAUAUUGAGCACACUAGUAAAUUUAUGGGCUGUGUGGUUUUAGGAACAGAUGGUGUAUGUGCAAAACAAACCUAAUCCACUUGUUCUGUUUGAGCUUUCAAGAAACAAAAUGGGUUGUGGUUCAGUGUCCCUCAUCUCUCGUAAGCAUACGCAUAGUGGGAAGUGAAGGAUUGAGGUACCCCACCAACCCACCAAAACACAUGCGAUUAUCCCAUGAGAGACCUAUCCAUCCUAGGAUAUGGUGGUCCCUUAAACCAAAAAGCUCAAGUUUAAUUUCAUAGUCUGAUGAGUGUUCAGUAUUGUUUAGCCCCUUUUGAUGUACCUCCAGUUGACCAAAAUGGUAUUUCCUUGUACAGCCGAUGAGCAUGGUUUUGCCUGGUGUGGUUGGGUUCAAGCUGACUGGAAACUUACGGAGUGGUGUCACUGCUACUGACCUUGUUCUUACUGUUACCCAAAUGCUAAGGAAGCACGGUGUUGUUGGCAAAUUUGUUGAAUUCUAUGGUAAGUAUUCAUGUUAUUAUAAUAUCUGGUGCAUGCUUUCUUGAUAUAAAUUUAUUCAUAUCUUGUUGAUAUUUUUUCUUUCUUUCGUUCUAUUCAGGUGAGGGUAUGGGUAAGCUGUCUUUGGCUGACAGGGCCACAAUCGCGAACAUGUCACCAGAGUAUGGAGCUACCAUGGGCUUCUUCCCUGUAGACCAUGUGACAUUGGAUUAUCUCAAAUUGACAGGCCGAAGCGAUGAAACAGUAGGUUUCAUUAUUGAGAUUUUGUUACCCUUUCCGUCUCUUUGAUAUUUUAGCAUUCUAAUCCGCCGCCCCGCUUCCCCUGCCCGCAAAUGGGGUCGAGGAAUAACGGAAUAUUGUUAAUGCUAGGGCUAUUGAGGUGUGAGCAUGCCGUAACUCCUCAUCUUCCAAAACUUUCACAGUUCUGUUGCCAUCCUUGCCAUGUGGCUAUUGAGUUGUGGGCAUGCAGUAGCUCCUGACCUGAGUUUUCAAAACUGUCAUAUCCUUGCCAUUGUUUUUCCCUGUUGCCAUCCUGGAUGCUGUUUCUUUCCUGGCCAUGUGAUAUUUCUUGAACUGGAUGCCAUGUGAUAUUUCUUGAACUGGAUAACAUAAUCUAAUGAACAUGAUUACCUAUUUUCAUUUGAUAAUAUAGUUUAUGUGAGUUCUACCUGCAUCAUUAUGUGAACUUAGGUAGUGUUUUGUUCUAGAGCGAGGUGGAAUGGAACGGAACGGUUCUAUUCUUAUAGGAAUGGAAUGUAAUGGAACGGUUCUACUUUUCUAUAUCCUAAGAACCAAACUCUUAGUACCGUCUUGCCUUUUGUUUUAGGUGUCGAUGAUCGAAGCAUAUCUACGAGCUAACAACAUGUUUGUGGACUAUAACGAGGUAUGCCCUUUAUUGGUGUUACAGUGCUUAAAUUUAGUUAUUUGUUGAUCAGGAUGUAGACAUAUUUACAUUCUUGAUUUGCAGCCUCAAUUAGAAAGAGUUUACUCUUCAUAUCUUGCGCUGGACCUGGAUGAGGUGGAACCUUGCAUUUCGGGUCCUAAGAGGUAAGCCACUAAGUAUAUGAGUUCCAUUGUAUAAAUUUAUUCCAAGGGGGAUGCCCAUAAUGGUUUUGUCACAUGCCAUUUGAUUUUUCACUCUGUAGGCCUCAUGAUCGUGUCACUUUGAAGGAAAUGAAAUCAGAUUGGCACUCUUGCCUGGACAACAAAGUUGGUUUCAAGGUAAACCUGUUGGUUAUGUCCGUUGUGACUUCUGCAUUUCCAAAUUUACAAUGUUUGUGUCUUAAAUUAAUCGCAAAUGCACAAAACAUUCCAGGGUUUUGCGGUACCGAAGGAACAACAGGAUAAGGUUGUGAAAUUUGACUUUCAUGGACAACCUGCUGAACUCAAGCAUGGCAGUGUUGUCAUAGCAGCAAUAACUAGUUGCACAAACACAUCAAAUCCUAGUGUUAUGCUUGGUGCUGCCCUUGUCGCAAAGAAAGCCUGUGAAUUGGGUCUUGAGGUUUGUUACUCCCUAAUGUGCUCACAUAUUGUUAUAUUUUUCUGUUUUUCUCUGCCUUAUGUUAACUGCGGAGCAAUACUUUUCGUCAGGUGAAACCAUGGGUGAAGACAAGUCUUGCCCCUGGAUCUGGUGUUGUCACUAAAUACUUGCUUAAGAGGUAUCUUGUUGUCAUUACUAGUUUUAAUGGAACAUGGAAUUUCAGUGUGUUACAUGCAAUGGUAUAUUUGAACCUAAUCUGGUGAUUUCUUCAUGCAGCGGCCUUCAAGAAUACUUCAACAAGCAAGGAUUCCAUCUUGUUGGAUACGGAUGUACCACUUGCAUUGGCAACUCUGGUGACCUUGAUGAAUCUGUAUCAGCUGCCAUUACAGAAAAUGGUAUGUAUAGGUUGUAUGCACAUUGAAUAUUUUUAGCUGCAAGGAGUUUGUAUUAUUAAUUAACAUUUUUUCUUGCACAGAUGUUGUUGCUGCUGCUGUGUUGUCAGGCAAUCGUAACUUUGAGGGUCGUGUGCACCCAUUGACUCGGGCUAAUUACCUUGCUUCACCACCUCUGGUUGUUGCAUACGCACUUGCUGGCACUGUAAGUCCAUGCCAUAUUCUCACACUUUGAUCCUCACAUAACUUUGGCUGAAGGACUUUCAUGGUUAAAAUAUUUGUGUUAUAUUUGUGCUCUUGUUGCACAUUACGACUUGUAUUUAUCAGGUCGACAUUGACUUCGAGAAAGAACCCAUUGGAGUUGGAAAGGAUGGCAAGGAAGUUUACUUCAGGGAUAUAUGGCCCACAACUGAAGAAAUCGCACAGGUAACUGUACUGUAACUUUAAUACUCCGUACUUUUCAUCUCUUUGUACUUGUUGCCAUCAUGCUGUUUCCUGUUGCAUCACAUUGGAUGUUUCUAUCCCAACUUAGUUCUUCUGUUAAACCAAUCAUAACUUAAAUGAUACUCUAACAGGUUGUCCAAUCAAGCGUGUUGCCUGAUAUGUUCAAGAGCACGUAUGAGGCUAUAACAAAAGGCAACCCGAUGUGGAAUCAGCUUCCUGUUCCAGAAGCAACCCUCUACUCAUGGGAUCCAAACUCCACUUACAUUCAUGAGCCCCCGUACUUCAAGGACAUGACCAUGUCCCCACCUGGCCCACAUCCUGUGAAGGAUGCCUACUGCUUACUGAACUUUGGUGACAGCAUCACGACAGAUCAUAUUUCACCAGCAGGCAGCAUACACAAAGACAGUCCUGCUGCCAAGUUUUUACUUGAGCGCGGUGUGGACCGGAAGGACUUCAAUUCGUAUGGUAGCCGGCGUGGUAAUGAUGAAAUAAUGGCAAGAGGAACAUUUGCAAACAUCAGGAUUGUGAACAAAUUUUUGGGUGGAGAGGUUGGGCCCAAGACCAUUCAUGUUCCUAGUGGGGAGAAGCUUUCUGUUUUCGAUGCGGCCACGGUAUGUUACUAGUUGUGUGAAUAUUGUGAUAUCCUGUCUUCUUGUUACUAUUAAUAUUUGCAUAUUAAUACCCUUGGUGUUGUCUGUUGCGGUGUUACUGCAAUGCAGAGAUAUAAGUCCGAGGGUCAUGAUACUAUCAUUCUUGCCGGUGCUGAGUACGGGAGUGGCAGCUCUCGUGAUUGGGCUGCCAAGGGACCGAUGCUCCUCGUAAGUUACAGAUUCAGUGCUUUAUUUCAAUCUUCGUAUUUGGGAAACGAUAGCAUAAAGCAUGUGCUGUUUUCAGGGUGUCAAAGCAGUGAUAUCGAAGAGCUUUGAGCGGAUCCACCGAAGCAACUUGGUCGGGAUGGGAAUCAUCCCACUCUGCUACAAAACUGGCGAGGACGCUGAUUCACUCGGCCUUACUGGACAUGAGAGGUUCACCAUCAACCUUCCUACCGACGUCAGCAAGAUCCGUCCUGGUCAGGAUGUGACCAUCACUACUGACAACGGGAAAUCCUUCAGUUGCACUCUUCGCUUUGACACAGAGGUAUAUACAUUUUAGGAACUCGCUGGAACGUACUGUCAGCCCUGGUAACUAUAGUUAGGAAAUGACAUUCUUGGUUGUGCUUGCAGGUGGAGCUGGCAUACUACAACCAUGGAGGCAUCCUCCCUUAUGUCAUCCGUAGCUUGGCAGGACAACAGAACUAGACAAAAGCACACAUCCUUCCAACCACGACGACAGAACUGCGGGCUCUUCAGCAAGCCAGCAGCAUCGACGUCGAGACUUUUCAUCAUAUAAAUAAACUGAAAAAUAAAGCCGCAGGAGACAGGAACCACAAUCACAUAUCCACACCUGGAGCUGGUGUGCGGCACAGAUCGAUGAACAGUUUUGUCUGCUGUUUGGUUGUGAUGAUGAAAACUGUGAGCGUGUUUGGAACGAUAUUUAAUUGUGGAUUAAAUCGUUUGGUUGUAGUCUCUUGUAGACUGAUAGCCGGGUGUACAUUUCUUUCGUGCUAUAGAACUGAAUUGGUGUUUAGUAGUUUCCACAAUGCCUGGCCUCACAUUCUUGAGUUUGCCGUACGGAGUACCAGGAAAAUUGACCUUGAAUAGCUUCCUCGCACAAACCAUAUGGUUUCAGGAAAUUUUACCUUGAACAACUGGUAAAUUAGUACUUCUUCCGUUCCAUAAAGAUUGGCACUGUUUUAAACUAGGGCUUUGAACUAGUUCUAGUUCUAAUCCGUGCCAAUCUUUAUGUAAAGGAGGGAGCAGUGUGCCAUUUUAGAUUAGUUUUCUCUUGUUCUCAGCGUGUCAAAGGAUGAACCGAUGAUGAGAACAUAUAUCGUGGCAUGAACAAGAACGUAAAAUAUUUUGAACAAGAUUACCUGAAACCAAUAAUGUGAACAUGUAUUAUGGCGCUUGGAACUUGAUACCGAGCUCCUGAGCCAUAGGAGCAUAACAAAAAGCUAACAGAUUUUUAGUUUCAAAAAAAAACAUAACAAAUUCGAACAAAGUUAACCAAAAGUAUUACCCGUACAACAUUUCAAAUCCAAAUGCGGUCUACAAUUAAGAACCAAAAAGGGGACAGAUUUCCCGCUGGCAUAUCAUCGUCAUCAUGUGAUCAGUCGCCAUUACGGUUUGGUUCUGUUUGGCCAACCAGCUUGAUCUGUUUUACCGUUUGGUUAAAUCAAAUUCGUCAGACUCUUUGUUCUGCUCUCAUGGCUAAUUGGCUACAACGAUAAAUCACGGUCGAAACACAAGGGCGCCUGCUAAUGACUGCGGGGGUGUACAGUUCGUGAAUCUAAGUAAUCCAUCAUCAUUGCAUUAGAUCCCCUGUUCGAAGCUUCAACCCUCAAAUCCAGAAUUCUAAACUUCUCUAGAUUGGAAAAAUUCGAACUGAAGUUGAAAAGCGGAACCCGGCUCUACUCGCGGACGGAAUUGUGCGACCGGACCGACCGGAGUCGGUUCCGGUUCUGGUUCCGGUUAUGGUUCCAGUUCGGUCCGACGACCGACCCGACGCUUCCUUUUCUUCUUUCCCCUUUCUCUUCGAGGCUUUUCGAGGCUUCGAGCCCAGCCCCAAACAACAACCUAAACAAGGAAGAAAUCAUCGGCGGCGGCGGCGAUGGUGUGCACAAAGUGUAAGAACCCCUCCUCCCUCUCCCCAUGUGCCCCGAUUUCUCCCGGAUCAACGGAUCCUUCCACUCGAUUUCGUCUAUUUCUCCCCUCCGCCCUGAGAUGCUUCAGGGUAUGCGAGGGCCUCGCCUUCUAAUCCGUGCGCGGUCUCCGUUUUGCAGGCGAGAAGAAGCUGGGGAAGGUGAUCGUGCCGGACAAGUGGAAGGAGGGCGCCAGCAACACCUUCGAGGGCGGCGGCCGCAAGAUCAACGAGAACAAGCUCCUCUCCAAGAAGAACAGGUACCCGUUCACCCCCACUCAAACGCGUUCUUGUUCCUAGGUCCGUUCAGCCCAGUUAAACACGUUGUUCCUUUGACAUCGAGGGCUCUAACUGGAGCGGCAUCUUGCCGGUUUGUGGAGGAAGAUGGUUCCUUCCCGGUCCGUGCCGGCGAUCGGAAUCUGGCUGGGUGGAGGAUUUUGCGGAAAUCGAAUUUUUUUUUGAAUCCCAGCGUGUGUAGAUUAGGGUAAUAGGUGACCUCAGCCGUUGUGACCGAUCUCGCUUGCUGCAUGUUCUUGGAUGGCUGGAUCCGUUUAACGCUAGUUCCUUAAGCUAAACUGCAACUUGUGGAAGUAAACUUAGUCUUCAGUCAAAGUUACGUGAGGAUCAUGUGGAAACGGGAGCAGUGCUUUUUAAAGGGCUAGAAGCACCAAAAGCUGAAGCAGAAGCCCAAACAAACAGGGCAAUCAGGCUAACAAUAUUACCUCUGACAGUUAAACCGUCUCCCUUACCACCAUUUGGGACCACAGAGUCUUCCGCAGCAGCCUUAUGUACUAGGAUGAUGGAACUACAGUAUCCUAAUGUCCGCCAACAGCAUGCAAGGACUUAUUGGUGUGUUGAACUUUACCACAAGAUUGGCUCGUUAAGUCACGGUAGUUACAAAAGGGGCUUUAGGCAGUGUUAGAGAAAAAAUGGUUAUGUCGAUGUUCAUACUAUUAUUUAGGUGAACAAAUCAAAUGGUAACGGAGAGGGUAGGGAUAGGAAAAGAAGUGCUAAUUUUGUGUGUCACAAGAAGAGGUAGGUUUUAUAUGGAUAUGGAGAAGGUACCGAGGAUUUCAAUGGUGUCAUUGGUGCCUGAACUUAAUAUAGGAACACUGCUUUUCUCUUCAUGUUGAAGCAAGACAAUCUUGAAUUUUUAUCGUACUAUCUGAUAUAAAUACCUGUAAGGAAGCAUGGUAAAUGCCUACUUGCUGCUGGCCAAACCCAACCAUCUUCCAUGGUGAAGAAUCGGUCUUUAUUAAAUGCAUGGUAAUAAUGUUGACACAGAGUGAAUAAAGGACAGGGUGCAUCCGCUGUAAAUGAGUUGUUAGUGGGUAUGUCGCAGGAGAUAACAUGUACCCCUCUAUUCCGAUAUGUAAGACGUGUUGGUAGUUCAAAUUGAAUACCAGGAUGUCUUACAUAUCGGAACAGCUGUAGUACUUGGAGAAUAGAUGUGCCUUGGGGUACCAGUGUGAGAUGAAACAUCAGCUAAAACUUGAUUGGCUUACUUUAGGAUGGUAGGUGGUUAUUUCCACAUGUUUUGGUAGUCUGGGUGUGUAAAGUGAACAGUCUCGGAGUUGAAGUGUGUUCUCCAGACUGGGGCAAGGGGUUAUUUACACACAAUUUUCUCUCUUACCUCUGUAGUUUCUGCCUGUUAUUUUUUUUUCUUGUAAGAUAAUUUGAGAGGGGUCUAACUCUAUGCCCUACUUGUCACCAUAUCAGGUGGUCUCCAUAUGGAAACACUAAAUGUGUAAUUUGCAAGCAACAGAUGCACCAGGACGGAAAAUACUGCCACACCUGUGCUUACUCAAAAGGUAAAUAAAUGUCUCAUGUAGAAACAGCUUCUGCAGCUGCGGCUAGUUUUUCCCACUGCUUAUCAGUUUUUGGCAUGUACAAUUUGCUUGCUAACCAGACGCCAUGCUGUGAGCUAAUUUACAUUCUUGGUUAAAUGCACAUAACCCUGUAACCUUGUUAUGCUAAAAUAAAAUCAUAGUAUCUCGCUUGCUAUUUCCUCAUUAAGGAACAGCCUGUACCUGUCCUCAGAAUCAUUUGGUUGCUGAACUUGAUGCAAGUGCAUUCAUGUACUGCAAGAAAAUAGUAUUCUUGACUGAGCUUACCUUAAGAACUUCCUGUAUUACGGUCAUAGCAUUUUAAAUCAAUAUUAUUAUUGAAGCUUCCUAAAUCCUGAUUGUGCUAUUGGCUUGUUCCAGGGGUGUGUGCAAUGUGCGGGAAGCAAGUGCUGGACACGAAGCUGUACAAGCAGAGCAACGUGUGAUGCCAUGCACGCUUAUAAGCCAUCAAUGAUCCCGCUCCUAAGCCAUCAAGGAUAAUCUUGUAGCGACCUGUCUAUGUUUAACUUGUAAGAUCAUGUGCUCGUGAUAUAGCUGUGGCUGAAUAGUUCUGCGUUAAGGGAAAAAACAUCUACUCGUUCUAACAAUUCUGUAACAUUUGUCGUUGCUCUGAAAUUUCAACUCCAAGCAGUUAUAUGCCACAGCAAUGGUAUUAGUUGCAAUUUCAGAUUUAAGGGUUCCAUUUCCCCAGGUUUUCUGUGCUUGAAACUGGGCGGCACGCCAAGGAAGGCUCCUCUUCCUUGCUCCUGCCAAAUUCAGUUUCUUUUUACUUGAAACUUCAUGAGUAGGCAGACAGCAUUACUCGGGAAAAGCAUGUGUGAGGUGAUUUCAUUUAGUCGGACUUUGAGCCAAAAAUUUUAAAUAAGAAAACAAUUCGAAUUUUGACUGGUUCCCAAUGGAAAACGGUGAGAUAUCAGUGCGUGAGAGAAAUUACGUACGAAUCAAUGAUUCUUGUUGAUGGUACAAUUUUGAACGAACAAAGCUACUACAUUACAUCUCAAGAUAUAGUAUUAACUACUACAGCCUGUGAAAUGUACUACAACUUGAGACAGCAUCAACUACGGCUAGAUCAGCCUAUGAGACUACGAAGGUUACGAUACCCAGGUUAAAUGGACUAAUAAACCAUGUGAUUGCCUACUUGGGCUUAUUUCUUGGCAUAAAUUUUCAAGAGUUAACAGUGCAUCUCGAUAUCCGGUUCUUGCGCCUUUAGGUCCUCUGGUUGAGCACGUGACGGAGCUGGAUCUUCUGGCUCUCCAUCCGGGCUUCUAGAAGCUUCGCCUUGAGGCUCUGCCUUUGGACCAGCUCCAUGCAGCCUCUGAAUCCUCGGUUGAGCUGACUGUUCAUCGAGUCUGGUGAGCUCCAUCGCUCCAUGCUCGGGGAGCUCAGUCCCUCGCCCAGCCCAGCGCCCUCGGUAGGAUAAUACAUGCCGCCAUUCGAUAGCCUUGUGUCCGACGGUCGGGAGUUUAUCGGCUCCACACCGUCCUCCUCGUGGAUUUCACGGUUUUUCAGAGGGGAGGAUCUCCAGAGCUUUGAUAUGGCUGACUGUUUCUUCUUGGGUAGCUGUUUCAUGUCUGACAGGUAUAAGUUGCUCAGGUCAAUCUGCCCGUCCUCCGAAUCGUUCCCACUCGUCCAGGAAAUUCUGUCACAGAUCUUGUUCACUGAAGGUUCGCUUCCGUUUCCGUUCCGCGAGAAGCUUGAACCCUGCAGAUCUUCAUGGCUUGUAGUCUCCCAGCUGCUGCCAUCUUCUGUUUCGCUGUCAUCGCAGUGACUUCUACUUGAGUACAGUUUAGUUGGGUUCUCUAGGAAUAUAUCGGCCAUUGGGUUAGCUCCUUGGAUUUCUGAUUCGUGUACUGAAGAGCUGUGCUGCUUAAAGCAUGGUUCACUCUCCUUAUUCUCAGGCUCUUCGCUCGGACGUAGCUCCUCGAAUAUGGCUAGUAUGUCCUCUGAUGCUGCUGGUGGCUCAUACUUAAAUUCAACCUCCUGUUCCCUGACCGAUCCAAUUUCCCGCAAAAUGAUCUCUGCCUCUCGUACUAUAGUGCUGUCUCCAUUGGCAUGACCAAAAGAGGCAACAAAGGCCUCAACAUCCUGUUGCAGUUUACUCAAUUGAUCAAAUUUGGCUUCAAGAGUAAGUCUUGCAUCAACAAGUUUCAUCUGCACCCGCUCUUCACGCCACACCUCAGCCAUCUGUAGCAAUUUUCUGUCCUCAUCCACUUCCUCCCGCAGUUUCACCGAGUCCCGCUUCAUGGCUUCAAUCUCGGAUUUGUGUUCCUCAACCUCCCUCACAAGCUUGUUGCACACCUCUUCGGUGAUUUCCCGUGUCUUCCUCUCAUUGUCAUACUCCUGCAACAGAUUAUUUGCUGCCAUUUUGACCUCCUUCAACUCAUCAACAAGCUUCAUGUUAAUUGUCUCUAGUUGCCUCCGGUUCUUCUUUUCAUGGUCGAGGUCUGCCUUCAUAUCUUCAAGAAUGGAUUGAACCUUCUUGUGUUCUCUCUUCCUCCAAGCUGCUUUCUCCUCCCUCAGUUUGUCAAACAAGCGUUCGAGUUGCUUCUUAGCAGAAAGCCGCUGGGCUUCUAGCUCGCCCACCCUAUCUUGUGCCCGCUGAAGCUCCAUCUGGAGACUAUCAGUAUGACUUUCCACUUGCGGUUUAUCCAUGAGAUUAAGUUGGCCAGCAAUCACAUAGGUACUAUCCAAUUCAAGCCCCUUUCCACUCUCAGACUCCCACUUUGUUGCAUUCUCUAUGCUCGUAAUAGGCAUCACAGCUGAGGCAAGCUGAAGCUGGACAUACAAAAUCAAAUUAAAUGUACUGAAUUAAUUUACAGCAUAGCACACAUAACACCAGUUUAGGUGCACGUAUGUUCUAGCUUUACCUCGUGGAGUUCUCCACUGUUACGCUCCAAGACAGAAUUGGGACUCGAAGUCUCAAUCUUGAGACCAUGUCGGCGACCAAGAUGAUCCUUCCUGAGAAGCUGGACUUGUAGAUGUCUUGGUAUGUGCUGUCAUACAAGUCAAUGCGCCAACAAGUGAGUACAGGGCAGAUAAGUUGCCAACAAGCAGUGAAUAACCAUUGUUCAUCCUCAUCUGCUCACAGUAUCUAAACAGAAUUGCUACAUAAGUAACUAAGACAAUGCAUCAUGCCAAUAAACCUUCCACUGUUUUGUGUCAGUCAUAUUAUUCACCAAACCUGAGCAAGGGCAGUUUCAUACAGCAUCAUAGGUCGAAAUAAAAUCAGCACCAGCCAACAAACUGAUAUCCAAAAGUCAAGACAGUUCAGAAUCAAAACACGCAUUUGUUGCUCACUGAAUCGGUUGCAGCUACUGCAUGGCUGGCGACUAUAACCUCUGUAGAAAUGUUCUCGGAAUCCAAUUAUAACUAGUACUAGUUUUACAGUAAAGUCUAAACCACCUAGUUAGGUGAUAGCAACUCCACUAAGCACCCAAUAAAGCGACGAGGCUCCCAGUAAAACACGUGGAGACAAACGGAUAACUCUCCUGCAUGAAGAACCUUGCAAGGACAAACGUACACUGCGAUUCAAUGCCGAGCCCGGGCCCCACUAGUAGAUGUAGGUGCGGAGGAGGAAAGGGGGGGAGGAGAUCACAUGAGCAAGAUUAGCUCACAAGGAACGCGCCCAUGGCCGAGCGGCCAAUAAAUGUCCUCAGAUUAGCCCCCAACGAUCGAUCGCAACACCAAUAAAUGCGGGGAUCUAUGCUUCGAUUUGGAAGCGCCAGGACGGCGCAACGGCCGGCUGCCAAUUAACUGCUGCCCGCCCGCCACGGGCGAGAGCAACGGACGGACGGACGGUGGUACGUAUACUACGGUGGUGCACGAGCUAGCCGCGCUUUAAUGCUGGCAUUGGCGAUUUGCCCCAGAUUCGCGCCUCAGAUUAGCAUUACCGCCCGGGGGCUAAGCGAAAAUUUUAGCGGUAAACCAGGUAGAUUAGCGCCUAGAGUUUCAAGCAUUCUGGAUGUGUCCGGGGAAGGAUGGUGGUUUACCUCGAGGCCGACGGGGUUGCUGGAAGCUCCGCGCUCGGCGGCGGCGGGAUCCUGCUCCGGCGGCCGCAGCCGCCACACCGCGGCCGCGAGCCGCCUCACAGACGCCGCCUUGUCUUCCUCGCUGUCCCGGACGGUCCACCGAAGCUUGGGAGUGCUGGGCCCGCCGCGGCGAGCGGAGGAAGGCGCGGCGGAUGCAGGGGGCGCGAUGGGGGUUUUGAGGAGGCGGCGGAUGCGGCGGCGGGUGGUCGCGGGGGCGCGGAGCGAGGCGGAGAGCGGCAUUGCGGGGGGAGGAGGCAGGCUAGGGUUGCGGCGGUGGCGCGGGCAUGGGGAUCCCGGAGAGCCGUUGGCGGCGGCGGCGGCGAGAGAGGGAGAGUGAAGCGACGGGAAUGGGGGAAGGGAGGGAGAGGAAUUAUGGAGGACGGAGAGCAGAGGCACGGAUUUUUUUGGGGACUUGUAAGGAAGGUGGAAUUAAUGACGACAAAGGGAGGUUUUAUCGCUUUACAAAAAACAACCCCACAACAAAGAGGAGGGCUGUUUUUUCCUUUUGAAGGAAAGAGAGGGGCUGUUUUGUAUUGCACGUGAAGGACGCUUUUCUUUUCUUUUCUUUUUGUUGCCUUCUGAGGAGUGUGGUAAAGGAAAAGGAGCACUAAUAAAACACUGAAAACAGAUUUGGUAAAGAAAAACGGGAAAUAUACAGCCCUAACGUUCGCUCGUUGGCUGUGUUGCGCGACGGUGCUGCGCGCGUGGGCUGUGCUGCCGGUGCCGUGAGACGAGUCUUGUGGCAGUGCGUGCAUGCAAAAUUUGCAUGCGAAUCUGCUUGCUUGCAUGUCCAUGCAUUCUUUCUUUUUUUUAAACUUGCAUGUGCAUGCGUUCAUUUUUAAUGUACUGCUCCGUCUGUUCCGAUAUUCUUGUCAUAUUCUUGUCCCAACCAUUUCACAAACACAAUUUUAUAAAAACAACCUCCGAAUUAAAAUAAUUACAGGUCAAUUAAUACAAAGUUUGAAAUUCAAAUCUCUGCCUGCGCACUCCAGGUCGCCCUGCGCUCUCCCCAGGUCGCCUCCUCCUUCCCCUCUGCAGGUCGCCUGCUCCUUCCCCUCUCCAGUCCUGCGUCCAACUUCCUCCAACUUCCUCUACAGCGGAACUGCGCCAUCCUCCAGUCCGCUUGUGUCCAGCCUCCAGGCCUCCGCUUGUCUCUAGUCUCCAUGCCCAUACCAAAUCUUAACUCCAGUCCACCUGAAGAUGAUGCUGGAGCCAAUUUGGAAGAUGAGGAGCUAGGUGGAGCCAAUUUGGAAGAUCAGGUGGAGCCAGGUACAGAGCAUGAGUAACUCCCGCGUCAGAACAAAGAAAAUUAUCAUUUGCCCAUAUAGAUUUUGAAAUUGCUCCUACUACAGCGAGUACUCCAUGUAUAAACAUAAAAGGAACACAGAUUUAACAUGUUGAUCAGGUAUUCUGAACACAGAUUUGUACAGGUGGAGGAAGAUGAUCAAAUCAACCAUUUCUCAGCUUAAAUUGUUCAUCAUGUUGAGAACACAGCACCUUUUAAUUGUUUAGCAUGUUCAGAGCACAGCUCUAAAUGUUCAGAAUAUAUUAGCUUUAGAUUGGAGUAGUUGUAACCAUUAGAGUUCUUGUUAUGAAUAGUUGUAACCAUACACACAUCAUCUUUUAAUUGUUCAGCAUGUUCAGAACACAACUCUAAUUGUUCAAAUUGCUUCUAUAUACUCCCAUAGAUUUGUGUUCUUGGUCAGCAAAUUAUUCAGCAGGUAACAGUACUCCAAAUACAGAUUGUUCUUGUUCAGAUUUGUUCAAAUUAUCCAUGCACACACAUAUACACAUACACACAGUUUCAGGUAACAGUAUAUCUACACCUACCGUAAUAGGAGUACAGUAUAUUCUGAACAUUACUCCUAUAUACUCCUACUGUAGGAGUAUAUCUAUAGGAUAUGUACUCCUAUAUACUGAGAGAAGAGAGAAGAGAUUGAGAGAGAAGAAAAGAGAGUAUAUAUUCCUAUAGUAAUCAGAAGAUAGAUGUGCAACAAGCAUAUAUAUUCAGCAACCACACUACUUAGAAAGCUUCAUUGCACUAAAAAGACGUCAUUCUUACUCAAGUUCAGGUUUAAGCAAUCUUAAUUAACAAGUUCAGAUUUGGUUCAGGUUUAAGCAAUCUUAAUUAAACAUGCACAGAGGCAUAGCUAAACAUGUCAUUUGAGAGAGAAGAGAAGUUAAUUCAGAAGAGAGAAGAAUACACCUACAGAUUUGGUUCAGGUUUAAGCAAUCUUAAUUAAACAUGCACAGAGGCAUAGCUAAACAUGUCAUUUGAGAGAGAAGAGAAGUUAAUUCAGAAGAGAGAAGAAUACACCUACAGAAUACUCCUAGCAGACAGCAUGCAUACAUGUACACAGAGAAAGGCAAAGCAUAUGAGAACUUAUCUUAGGAGUAGGAGUAGAUCUUGUAGAGCAGUACCCAAUGCUCCACCUGUAGAUGGUGUUGAAAAAAAAAACUUCAAGUACUCCCAAUCAGAAACUUUAAGCAUAUAUCAUGGACAGCUGAAAGUAAAUGCACAAUCAAAGGCAAAUCAACUUCUGAAAAAAAAAAGGCAAAUGCAACUCACUUCUGUAGCCUCUUCUGGAUCCUCACACUCCUCUGAAUAAAUAUUAUGUUUUCAGCAAGAACAGAUGGAGUCGUAGCAACAACAAAUGGACUAUUAGCAAAACCAGCAAAUCAGUAGAUGGACUACUAGCAAAAUCUGCACCAGAUCAUGGUGUACAUUAACAAUAAUUAUAAAGAUCACAGAGCAUAGCAAAAAUAGAAACAAAAACAAGAACAUAUUUUUUACAAAUGCUACUACUAGCAAAAUCUGCACCAGAUCAUGGAGUACUUAGAGAGCUUUCUGAAUUGAUUUGUGCACUUAAACAGUACUCCUAGCUAAGCUAGAUGAGUAUGCUAAUCUGAAUUUCUGAAUGAAUACUGCACUUCAACUAGAACAAGAACAGAGCAACGACAUCUCAGAAAAAGAAAAUAACAGGACCAAAGUACUCCUACCUAAGUGCACAGUACGUGUACAUCAUUUGAACAAGAACAGAGUACUCAUGCUAAACAAGAAUAGAGCCAACGCGCAACAAAAAUGAACAAGAACAGAGUACCUUGAGCCGUUGUUCCUCGUCCUGCCGUGGCCUGGAGAAGCUGCUCCUCGUCAUCGUGGCCGUCUUGAGGAGCUGCUCCUCGUGGUCGCCUCCUUGAGGAGCUGCUGCUCGUCCCGCCGCCGCCUUGAGGAGCUGCUCCUUGUCGCGCCGCCGCCUCCUCAUCCAGCCGUCGCCUUGAGGAGCUGCUCCUUGUCCCCUUUUCUCGUCGAGCCGCCGCCAGCGGAUCCGGGCUCCUACUCCUCCUCGGGCUGCAGCGACAGCGGCCACGGCUCCGCCUCCUCCCCUUUGAGCACCGUCACGACGACGACCGGAUCCGGUCUCAUAGCCAACGGAUCCGUUGAGAUUCAACUCGUUCUUGGUCCGAGCGAGCUUCUUCGCACGCGACGACGACGAGGAAAAAUCGCUGAGGAGAUGAGAGGGGAAGGUGGAGGGGAGCACGACGGAGAAGAGAUGGACAAGUGGAGGGGAGCGUUGCGGAGGCGACCAGAGAGGAAAUGGAGAGCGGCGGCGAGGGGGAAGUGGGGAGGAGAUCGGGGGAGCUGGGCUUGGGCGGAAUACCUAAGAGAGAGGAGCGCGGAGCAACGCUGUACAAAACGGAGGUUUUUUUUUGCAAAAGUGCCAUCGCGACAAGAAUAUCGGAACGGAGAGAGUAGUUGAUUUCCUAUAUAUAUUUAAAAUGAUGUGUAGUUUUAAUAUUUUGUCAGAUUCAUGAUCCGUUUUUACCAUUGGAAUCGUAUUGACGAGAGCUUCAAAACAAGAUCCUAAUAUAUUAUGUUUCGAAAAAAAUCUAACCAUUUUAUUAUAACAUAAUAAUGCACAAAUUACCAUCCUAGUGUGGAAUAAGUUACCACGUGACAAGUUAUUUAGCACGAUGAUAACUCACUUUUGUAUAUUAUUGAAUGGUAACUAUAUAUAUUAUUUGAUGACGACUUAACAAAUACACGGUUUAAGAGUUAAAACAUUUUGAAUUUUGAAAUAUGGGAUGUCUUGGCGUGCGAUGGUGGCACCCAUCUUAACAUGCGUACCACUGCGUGGGCUAAGUGCAUGCCUAUGCAUAUCUACUUGUAUGCAUGUAGUUUUAAUUUAAAAAUGAAAAUGCUUUAAUUCUUAAAUCGUAUACUUGAUUUACGCUUGGUCUUCAAAUUUAGAUCACAUAUUUAAUUUUACAACAUUUUUAUUGCUUAAAAAUUACCACCCAAUAAUCUAUUAUGUUGCCAUCAUAUUUUGUAUCAAAUUGCCACGCCGACAACUUUAUUAUGGGCUAAAAGUUACCAUCCUAGUUCGUAUCAAGUUACCACAUCGACAAUUUUUUUAUGGCUUAAAAUUACCAUUCAAUAAUAUAUGAAGUUGUCAUCCUAUUUUCUAUCAAAUUGCAACGUCGACAACUUUUUUAUGGCUUAAAAAUUACCAUCCAAAUAAAUAUAUGAAGUUGCCAUCCUAUUUUCAAAUUGCCACGUCGAAAACAUUUUUUUGCCUUAAAAAUUACCAUCCAAAUAAAUAUAUGAAGUUGCCAUCCUAUUUUCUAUCAAAUUGCCACGUCGACAACUUUUUUAUGGCUUAAAAAUUACCAUCCAAAUAAAUAUAUGAAGUUGCCGUCCUAUUAUCUAUCAAGUUGCCAUGUCCACAACUGUUUUAUGGCUUAAAAAUUACCAUCCAAAUAAUAUAUGAAGUUGCCAUCAUAUUUUGUACCAAGUUACCAUGCCGACAACUUUUUUAUGAUUUAAAAAUUACUAUUCAAAUAAUAUAUGAAGUUGACAUCCUAUUUUGUAUGAAGUUACCAUGUCAACUACUUUUAAUGGCUAAAAAAUUACCAUCCAGUAUGAAGUUGCCAUCCUAUUCACCGUGUUAGUUUAAAUUUACCAUAUGGUAAAGAAAAUAUAGGAUAGUAACUUGUGUACUAUCAUUUGGUAAUAGAAGAGUUCGAAAAAAGAUCCGUCAAAGUGUCUGAGUGAGAUAUUAUUUUGAAGUUCUAUCGAUACGAAUCCAAUGAUAUAAAUGGACCAUGAAUUGGAUGGACGAUUUAAGCUACAAAACAUUUUAAAUGAUCAAAAAUCAACUUUUUGUGUUUCUCCUUCAUGUGUGCUUAUAGCACACUUUGAAAGUGCACGCAUGCAAAUCACAGCUGCUGCAUCAAAAAACAGCCCGUGAUGAUUGAAGGCACCGACCGGCCGGCUAUCGUGCAAAGAAGCAGCAGCAUGCAGUACAGAGCUUUGUUCCUUUGGUUGCAUGGAGCCGUACGCGCUAGCUCACUAUCGCGCGUACGCCGCGCUGUAGUGCAUCUCAAAGAAAAAAGCACAAAAGCAAAUGUGGUAAGGGGGCUGUUAUAACUAUUUUACUAACGGGAUAAUUAAUAAAGUCAUUCGUGAUGGUAUUUCCUAAAAACGAAAAAAAAAUUAAAAUUUGAUUUAGGACAAAAUUAGAAUAUCGUAUAAUUUGAAAAGAAGAGAGCAGUCGAUUUUUUUUUGCGGGAGAAGAUCUAUCAACCUCCUUGAGGUGCUUUGCGCCCUUUCAAUCAAAAAGGCUGCAUAGGCUCCUACUAUUGAUUCAAUCCCUUCCACACCUGUCGGAUGGAACGCAGUCCCUUGAUCGGUCUUUACCAACUGGAACUGGAAACCGAUUAACGUCUUCUUUGUUUUGUGGGAUUUAAGAAAACAUAAAUUGUAUUUUCUCUGAUCCAUAAUAAAUAUCUCAGGUUUAGUACAACUUUAUACUACUCCUUCCGUUCCAUAUUAGCUGGCGCUGAUUUAGUACAAACUAAGGAAGUAACUUUGUACUAAAUCUGAGACAAUCGGAGGGAGUAAGAAAUUAGUACGAUGCCUGCCUCCACAUUCAGUCUUGACGUAAUCCUCUUUCGGUUUAGGUCAUCCGUAUCUCUCAAUGCCUGCCUGCCUCAGCCCCUUCUUCUGUGCCCUUGUUGGCCUGCGCCGACCUGGAUGGAGGUUGGUCGACGCUCCCACCGUAGCGAUCAACUAGUUUCGCAUAACAUCAGGCAGCAGAGUAGCCUUUACCUGAGCCUGGAGCAUCAACGAACCCUGAGCUGCCGCCACUUCGGUUUCCAUAGCGCUAAAAAAAUAAAUUUAAAUUUGAUCAAGAUUAUAGGAAAAAUGUGUUAAUACCUACUCCAUUCGUUCCUAAAUAUAAGAUGUUCUACCUUUGUCGUAAGCCAAGUUUAUACAAUCUUCGUACUAUAUUGUUGACUUAAUCAGUAUAUAUCAUCGUAUUAUACUAUACUUAUUUGUCACAUGGAACAUAAGUGUUUCCAGAAAAUAAAACAAGCCAUUUGAAGUUUUGAUAAAUACAAAGAAAUGUGGGAUAUCAUAUUGUAUGAGAUGUGCAUCAUUAAAUUUUGGUAAAACGAAAAUACUUCCAAUCUAGAUUUCUAAUUGUACACCACUCUUUUUUGUGCGGUACACAUAUGGACAUAAUUUUUUACUAGAAUUUGUACGUUUACACAUUGUCAAACAAAAUACAUUUAUCAUUUUCCAAAUAAGUGCUUGUAGGUGGGCAACCUGCACAUGCACCCUGUCCUGGUCCUAGGUGCACCAACACAUUUUCCUUGGCUCCAACUGAAACUGCUGGAACAGCCAGGAAAGUGGCCCAGCUCCACUGCUCCCAAACAUCCAGCAUUUCAGCUCAAUACAUUUAACAUGUACACUGCAAAGUUAUGGCUGAAUUGAAUUCGUUUCUUUCCAGGUCAUGCAAUAGACAAUCGGCAGUGCUUAAUCCAACUGUAAACUGAACGUGGAAUACUGGAAUCUGGUGUAGUGUGGUGAGGGCAUCCUCCAUUCUUCUCAACAUAUGUAUGGUUCUGAAUAGAAAUGCCUGGAGAAAGAACGGCCCAAGGGUCUGAAAAUCCUAUGCCGGUGAAAACCGAGGGCUGACAAGAGGAUACCGGAGCAGUAUGUGCAUACGGCUCCUGGCUCUCAUAGAAACCACUGGAGCAUUUGGUUCCUGAAAGAAGGGGAGAUGUUACCAACAUGAGUUCAAAGUAUGGCUUGUCAGCACCUAGGCGGAUCUCUGUGCAACGUGUAGGUAUGGUGCAGUAGAGAAUUCGUGUUUCAGAUUAUAGAAAAAAUGCUAUGUGCCAGUGAAAUUUGGACUGGGAACACACUGUAAGUGGAAGAAAAUUGUGUCGAGUACUGAGUACCAUUUUCAGUCCAUCCGCUGGUUAGAAGCAACUAACUGCACACAAAUAUGUUGUUCACAUUGGGAAUUCAAAAGGAAUUAUGAAAACUGUCCACUCCAAAGAGGUAAAAAUGAGGAGCUUUCAUUCUCCUUUCCUUUUUCUCUCUUUUUUUUUCUUUAGGUAGCUUAGCUUUGUUUUUCUUCUUUCUUUGGUUUGUUCAGGCUGUAAGGUUCACGUCAUCUUGAUGCUUUCUUCUAAUACAAAAUGACACUCAUAUGUGUGUAUGUUCGGAAAAAAAAGGGUACAAUUUGGGGCGAUAGAUACCAACUUAUUAAAAAAAGCUGAGCUCGAGUGGCAAAUGCAUGGUUUAUAAGAAAUAAAAUAGUACUCCUAGUAGUUUUCGAGUAGUAUUUCAUCAUGAGAAAUUAUAUCUCUUAAUCGUCAAUAUAACCAUUGUGUCUCACAGUUUCUUGAAUACAAUAAUUCAUCAAAUACCACAGAAGAGAUCAGGAAAUAGAAUCAUAUUCGCACCUGAGAUUGUAGUGACAGUCUCCAAUAAGGUAGAGUUGUCCUGCAUAAGAACUGUUAUGGAAGCAAAUCAAGUAGCUGCUGUCACAAAAAAGAGCAGCUUUUAUGUCACAAAUCCAGCUGAAGAAUCAGCACCAUAGUGAAUAGAUAUUGACCCCACCUGAAGGAACAAGAAGAUAUUCUUUGUGAGUUAAUAGAAAAAACAUGGAACUGAAGGUGAAUAGGAAAUAAUUAGAGAAGAUUUAUAAUGAUCAUUACAAAUUAAUUCAAGAAAGUUGGAAGAUAAUUUCCAUUUACCCCUUGACAAGAAUCCAACUCUAACCUUCUGCAUUUUUGUGUGUAGUGUCCGGUGUAGCUUCCCUGAACUUCAUCCAAAUUGGAGACAUGCGAAACAGCUUCCAACUGAAAAUCUUCAAGACCUCCGACUCAGUUACAUAUAUAUUUGUGUCAUCCUUUUGAUGUUUCUAACCUUGUUGCAUUCUUCCUUUAACUCCUCACUGCAGUCCCAGACCCAGAAAUCUCUCAGGGCAGGUGGCAUGCCACACUCUGGCAGUGACUUAAUGCUCGGACAGGACUUGAUCUCUAACUUGCUAAGAGAGCUCAAACGAUGCAGAUCAUCCGGGAGAGACUGGAGAUUCUUGCAGGAACCGAUCACCAUCUCUUCCAGGGAAGGUGGCAGACGCUGCUCUUGCAGUGAAAGGAUGCCUGUACAACACAAGAUCUCUAACUUCCUGAAGGAGUGGAGACAAUUCAGGCUUGCAGGUAGAGACUGCAGACUGCCACAAUCACUGAUGUGCAACUCUUCCAGGGAAGCUGGUAGGGCUACUUCUUCCAGUGACUCAAUGCUUUCGCAUGAUUUGAUUGCUAGCUUCUUGAGGGAAGGAAGGAGAUGCAGUGUUGCUGGUAAUGAGCGGAGUUUAUUGUAGGAGUUGAACUCGAGCUCUGUGAGGGAGGUAAGGAGUAGGAAAACUUCAUUUGGAUCCUCCAUUGUGGAGUUGCUGUCUUCAUCAUCUUCAUAAAACAGAAAGCCUAGCCUCCCAAGGGACGUGAGAAAUUUACAACUGCAGCUUGUCAGCAAGGAGAGAUCAUCUGUCCAGAUCCUUUCCAGUUGUGGGAAGAAAAGGCCAUGACCUACCCUCUCCAGCUCUUGCAUUGCAGGACUCCAAGCACUCCAAAAGUCAGGACUGCUGUAAACUUGAACAGAUCUCAAGUUGAUGCAUGUUUGCAAGCCUUGUACAGAAGACAACGCUCCGCAGCAGUGGAUUCUUACCUCUUCCAGUGCCGUGCACGAGUGCAGAUCAAGAGAUUCUAGAUCUGAGCUCUCGGUUAUGCCCAGGUCCUUCAAACAGGUGAGGCUUGAGAGCGACAGCAACUUCUGAGUAACACCAUCAAGCACCAGUUCUUGCAAUGAUGGUGGAAGGAGGAUGUUUCUGCUCAAGCUUCCACCGUCUUCCUCCAUCUCUUCAGGCAUCAAAGACGACAGGAGCUUGGGGCAGUCUCCAAUCCUUAACUUCUCAAGGGAGAUGAGCCCUCCAAGUCCUUCAAUGUUUCCACAAUAGAGUUCUACGCAAUUUGUGACAUAUAACUCCUUUAAAGAUGUCAAUGAACCAGGUGAAAUCAGCACCAUGCACUCAUCAUCUGCUGCCCCUGCACAUUCACCCAUCUCCAGGUAGGACAGAGAUGGUAAAAGUGACAACACAUGACCAAACCAAUUCCCUCUGAUGCAGCAUGACUCGAUUGUAAGCGUCUCAAGAGCUAGCAAUGGACGAUCUCUCAUGUAGUCUUGCUCUUCUUGAGUAGCAGGCAUUGAGAGGAGGUUGGGGCAAUCGACAAAGUUCAAUUUCUUCAAAGACUUGAGUUGCCAGAAUGCCCCCGCCCAUGAAAACCAUGUGAGGUUUGAGCAGUUUAUGAGAGUGAGUUCGUAUAAUGUUCCUAGAUUAUGCAUGGCUAAGACUCCAUUUGGAGUUCUCAAUUGGUUACUACCAUGCAGGAUCAGUGUCUGAUAAUAUGACAAACUCUUAAACUGAUAAUAUGACAAACUCUCAUAUAAUGCUGACCCAACAUUUACGGUUGUCAUUUUCAAUACCUUGGGUCCAAGAGGAAGGGGAGGUAACGACAUUAGCAGGGGACAAUCAUGAAUGAUCAAACUGUAGAGAACAGGAAACACAUGAAUAGCGACAGUUUGGGAGGCAGAGUAACAUGACAGUGGAAGUUCUCUUAGUUUUGGGCAACCUUUAAUUUCAAGAACAUGUAGCUCAGAAGCUAGUAAUGGGAGAUCAUCCCUAACGAUCCACCUUUCUAGUUCUUCCACUUCCUCAAUAAUCAGUUCCUCUAAAGAAUGGGUUGACAUGUCCGUUGUACCGCAAAUUCUUACCAGAUGUAGUUUCUUCAGACACUUCAGGUGCACAAAAGGUGGUAGAGUCCUCAAAAACUGGCAAUCUUCUAAAUAGAUCGAUCGCAAACGGAUAAGUGGUGAAGCCUCUCCUAACCAUGUUGGAGGUGUAGCACUCCUGUACCCACUGAUCUGAAGAUGGUUUAGGUCCGGAUGUGGUUGAAGUCCCUCAAGUACCUCCUUUAUGGCAUCAGGAUUAGCAGACACCCUACUAGCAUCCCAGCUCAAGCACAAGUUUCUUAAGUGUUUUCUAUCCAGAAGCCUGGCAUUGUUUGCCUCUUCCUUGCUUUCUAGGUUCUCGAGGCCAAAAAUGCAUAGUGAGCCAAGCUCUAACAGAUUCCCCAACUGUGCUAUCCAAAAACCAGCUUUCUUUCUGACCAUGAACUGGCGCAGCUCUUGAAGAGAAGUUAAUUUGCUAACAUUUGAUAUCUCUGAAUGGCUUUCCUCAUGACAAAUGAAAUGGCGCAGGUUGACAAGAUUAGAGAAGCUUUUUGUCAAGUUAGAAAGAUGGCAGUCUACUCCUACAGUCAGAAAUUGCAAGCGGUAAAGUGCGCACAGCUCUUUAGGAAAUUGCCGAUCAAAUCUUUCAAACCAAGGAUUGUGUUUGUCAUUCUCUUGUUUGGUUGCUCGUAAAUAGCGAAGAUGAAUGCAAUGCCCAAAGCCAGAUAGAAUGUCCCCAUCAUCUUCAAAUCCUGAUAGCCGCAAUGUACGCAAAUUCUGUGUCACAUCGGUCAUAAAGUGAAAGUUCUUAACAAAUGUGGAACCAAAACUGCCAAAGAGCAUGAAGGACACGAGCUUGUUGGAUUGCAGUGAAGUCAAUUGAACCAUAUCUUUCUCAAAGUCUGAAUACUGUGAUGUAGCAAUUAUAGACAAAUGUUGAAUUGUUGGUGGCAUUUGUUGGCACUGAGAACCAUCCAUAGUAAAGCAUUCUUUUGAUGAAACACCCUGAGCUAGGUCAUGCAUCAAGUCAUGCAUUAGGAAGUGGAUAUCAGUUCGGUCUUUAUCUAGUUUCUCGAAGAAGCCCAGAUUCACUAAAUCAUCAAGGUAUUCAGACCCAAUUUCUUCAAGCCUUCUAUUAUCACUUGCAGGAUAUACAAACCCUUGAGAAAUCCAAAGAUAGACCAAGUCCUCUGCAUAAAUCUGAUAGCUUUUGGGAAACAAUGAACAAUAUGAGAAGCAUCGCCGCAGAUGGAAGGGCAGAUAGUCAUAACUGAACUUCAGAAUUGCUAUUAUACCUUCAGUAUCUUGAUGUGAUAUCCACUCUUUUCUCUCUAAAAUUCUUGUCCAUCGCUCAACACUGAUAUCUUUCCGCAGUAAGCCCCCUACACUUUUAGCUGCCAGCGGAUAACCCUUUAGUCUAUCAGCUAUUUGCCUCCCAAUACGGUGCAACUUCUUAUGCCCCUUUUCUUUACCAAAUGCAUAUGCUCUGAAACAGUCCCAGAAAGCUUCACUUUCAAGACCAUCCAAUGCAACAGAGUCCAAUGCACCAACAGACUUCGCGACAGAUUGGUUUCGAGUAGUCGCUAAGAUCGCAUUACCUUCCCCUUGCUGGUUAGACCUCAAUGGAGCCACAAGCUGGCUCCACUCGUUGCUGUCCUUGAUAUCCCAUAUGUCAUCUAAAACUAGCAAAACUCUGCUGCCCUUCAAUGCAUCUUUAAGUGCAUCCUGAAGAAUAUUCAAAUUUGCACCGCCUCCUUGGUCCAUUCCAGUGAUGCACUCUAACAUCUGUCUGGUAAGCCUCACAGCAUCAAAAUUCAGGGAGACACAUAUCCAAAUCUUCAUAUCAAAAUAGGUUUCUAUUCUGGGAUCACUGAACACAUACUGUGCCAACGCAGUCUUGCCAAUACCACCAUUACCAACAACAGGGAGAACCGUGAGGGUUUGGUUGCGAUAGGCAUCACUGGUCAACAACCUUAUGAUUUGAUCCCUCUCAUGGUCCCUCCCAAAUAUCUUCGUUACAGUGAGAUACGGGGUCGUCAAGCGCUUUGUGCUUUCAGAUCCAUGCUUUGCGAGUGCAAUGCCAUCAAGCUCCUCCAGCUUGAGUGCAUCACGUAUGGCGCCAGUGAAAUCCCCCAAUGACCUACUGAUUUCACAGAUCUGAGGCAACAGCUCAUCGCUGUUGAGCUCAGCUCUUGCCACAGCCCGCAUGAUGGAACGUUCAUAUGCAGGAACCAACGCACUGAUAGUACCUUGGUUAUCCACAUCAGCAGGAGAAACAAGACUAGAACCACCACAAGCAUCACUGUUUCCACCGCCACUACCUCUGUUGACUUCAUCAUCGUCACACAGAGAGUCAUCAAUUUCAUCUAGCAUCUCCUCAUCAGUGUUGAAUCCUGCUUGCACACGGAAGUAGUCGAUCUCAUCAAGAACCUCCUCGGCAUCAUAGAUCAAACGCUGCAGCUGCGGCAAGGACUGCACCAGAGCCUCAUUCCGGAUUUCAAUCUCCCGGGCAGCACCCAGCACCGCACCUGCGUUUCUCAGCUUCUCCUCGAGGGCAACAACACCGUCACCGAGGCCGACACGAGCUGCAAACACCUGCAGCGCGUUGUUGCCGGCUGCAACCGAUGGUACAAGGGCCAUGUUGUACAGACGGUUGCAAGAAUGAGGGAGAACCGGAGAAGGAAGGAGAGAUGGACAAAGAGGAAUGGAAAAAUAUAGCGAGAUGCACUAUCAAAAAACAAUACAACAUUGUUUAGGCCAGGUCGUCUGAGGCGCUCUGCAACAAAAGAACAGUUUUCUCGGAGGAAAAAAGGCGAAUAAACCAAAGUGUCCACUGGGACAAGUUGGCCAAUUAACAACUCGGCAGAAAAUGCUUGCAUAUGCAUAGAGACAGGGUCCAUGUCAACUCCCGAACCCAUCGCCAUUGGUAGUGGAGUAGUACUAAUUAACAAUCAGGACAAGCAGAAGAAAGAAAAAUGCCAAGAAACUCUACCGCUGCCAAUACAAAAAAAGAAAACACACACACCAGCCGCUGCUCGCUGCUAGAUCCUGUGCGCGCAACUGUUUGUUAACGGUCCAGGGAGAAGACGCUUAAGAAUUGCCGGGUCGAGAGAAAAUCUAACAAGAAUCCUCUGAGCGCAUUACGUCGAGCACGUCGUGGGCACUGGGCAGAGCACGUAACCGUCCUCGCGGCCGCCGUGAAAACCGCGCGAUGAGCUGGUGUAGAUUUUCGAGAAGAGAUUGAAUGCAUGCAAUGAGGACGCACCUGUAGAGGAGCGAGUCGAAAGAGCUUUUGCUUGCGCGCUUCCGACGCCAUGGCCGCCGCGAACGCGCCGGGAAGAAGACGAUGUGAAUUCGGGCCACAGGGGAAACAGAAAAUGCUCGGGCUGGGCUAGAUGGGCCUCAUCAUUUUAUAGUUGGAACAAAAUGGGCCUCAACCGAAGCACUCCUACACCCCGACUCAUAAAAAGUUGGACUAAUAAAAGCUGCUUGAUUCCUGGAGUAGAAAACAAAUUGGACCGGAUUUAGUUGGGCCAACAAAUGCGUAAGCCUAGUUACUCUAACCUCUCGACCCAAAGUGUUAUUUUUGUCAUUGUUGCUGGUUUUAUACCUGGGCAAAGCUCGGCCCGGCCCGAAACCCCAAAAAUAUGCCAUUUAAACAUUAAAGUAAUUAUUUUCGAAAUAAAUAAAUAAUUUUUUAUACCUAUUUUUUCUAAAAAAAUCCUCGUUUUUGAUCAUUUCGGGCUUUCGGGUCGGGCUUGGGACUGGAAACUGAGGCCCGAGCCCGGCCUGGGACGUCGGGCUUCGGGCCGGGCCGGCCGGGCCGGGCCACCCAUACCCAGGUAUAGCUGGUUUUAUGUCCCAGCAUGACACGCCGGCUUACACGUCACCGAAUCCCGAUUGCGGAACCUCAUCUUUUGAGUACCUUGCCCAUGACCUCGCAGGCCUAGUGUCCUCUCAACUAACCACCAAUGACAAGCUUUGUCGUAAUGUUGUUGUCCACUAUGGACCUGUGGAGCACCGGGUGCACUCUUCGCCUCCGUAGGUGUCGUACGAGAGCCGGCAGAGGGAGACCUUCGGGCUGUCCAUGAUGUUGGGGCCAAAGCCACCCUCGUGUUGCAAUUGGGAUAGGUGGCGUGGAAACCAGUGGCGUGUCAGGAAAACCAACAACAUGGACAAAAAUACCGCCUCGGUCCGAGGCAGGGACGGAAUGUGUUCGGUUUUGAAACUUGGAGGACGAAAAAAUACGGAAAAAAAAUUAGGGGAUGAAGCAUUAAAUUCACGACAGGUCGAGAAACGAAAAAAAUACUUUUCUCUAGAAACAAUUAUCAAGACUACAUAUCAAGGUGAGAUUAACUCGAUCAGUAAAACAAGAAAGUGACAAUCAUAACACUUCGUCAAAAAUUAAAACAAAGACUACCCGUAGAUUCUGCUAUGAAAGAUAAACAAUUAACUACCUCCUCUUCAGGUGCGUUACAGUUAAGUAUGUGCGAGGGAUACUAAGUAGGAGUAUGACUAUUGGAUCCAACACAAGACCUGGGUGAUCCCCUGCAAGAAGGAAUGUCCAAGUUGGGCUUAGCAGCCAUAUGAUGGACCAUUUGGAAGCUGCCUAGCCGAGUCAUCGGCACCUCAAUUUAAGAAAAUCAUUCAGUAAACUACAGUAAGUCAGUAACCAUGUCAACUCCCAGUGGCAAAUGACAAUACAUACGCACAUGGAUAACUGAAGUUACAAAUGAAAUGACUAAUCAAUAAUUGUGGUUAAAUACUGAAAAAUGUCAGCAGAUGCAUGCACAGACUGGACAACUGGAAUGACUUUGAACAACUGUUAAUUGGUCGAGUCCUAUAUACUGUAUACUCUAUCAGUUCCCUAGCAAAAAAGGUUACAUCGUUGGUUACAAAAGCGCAGAGGAAUUAAACAAAUGAACAACCAAGCAAGUUGAUCGUUCGGAUUAUAUCAAUAUAAUGGCAGUGACUUUGAUCCCAUGUUUUUAAUUAAUCAGACUUCGAUAGAGUGAAUUACACAAAAUCACCACGCGUAGAAGACAUCGUAUCACAUAACCAUGGGUUUUUGCUAAUUUUAUCGCAAAGCCACCAACAUUCAUGCAAGUUUUUUGAGUAAAUUUCAUAAAACCACAGUUUUUGUGAUAGUGGUCUCACAAAACCACGGUUAUUUGUCAUAGUCUCACAAAGCCACAACUUUUGGGACAUCCGGUCUGAGAAAACCCUAAUCUGAGUAAUUAAGGUGCAUGAUGGUGUUUCCGACAACUCAGGACCACCGAUCAGAUGCCACGUCGCCCGCCCCGACCCGUUUUCGACAUCCCUUGAUUUGAGAUGGAAUCCGCGAGAGCCAGCGAGGUGUUGAGAAGUUAGGGUUCAUGGCAUGGCCCGAGUUGUCGGAAAACCGUCAUGCACCUUAAUUACUUAGAUAGGGUUUUCUGAAACCGACUGCCCCAAAAGUUGUGACUUUGUGAGACUAUUACAAACAAACUUGGUUUUGUGAGACUGCUGGCACAAAAAUUGUGGUUUUGUAAAUUCCCUCAAGUUUUUUCAAAAUUGCACUCAUUUCGUCCUAAACUGUCUGAGGGAAUUUCUGACCGACGAGGCCCGCUUGUAAGGUUGACACCGUUUACGGGGAAUAAGAUCCUGCUCAUCUUCUUCCUUGUUGGCUAAGGUAGCCUGCAUAUGGGAAGGGCGACUCGACUCUGGCAAUGACCACGACGAUUCCACCGCCGGCCCUCAACCUCACCGCCUCUUUCUCCCAUCCAUGCAUGCAUCUUCCACCGCUUCGGCUGCAGCAGCCGCUUCCUCCUCUGCCUUUGGUAAUUAAGCCCACAAUUUCAAUCAAAUUCAGGAGGGGCCGCCAUCGACCGCUUCAAGGCCAAAUGUAGCUUCCGCGUCUCCACUUUUACGCCCUCUUCUGGAUCCGCCACUUCGUCGUCCGCGUUGUUCCCAUUCUAUCUAGCUUCACCUGCUUGCUUCCCCAUCGCCAUGGAAUCGAUUUUGAUUCAAACCGUGAGAGAGACCGGCGUGGAAGAGAUGCGGGAGAUGGGCAAGGCAAGGGAGGAGCUGGCGUGGGAGCUCCACAGGGCGCCGAUGUUUUUUUUUACAGCACGGAACGACUUUGUUAGUUUGACUUUUGGGCGAUUAGCACGGUCGUGCUGUCAACUUAACCGUUCCAUGGCACUUGAUAGGUGGGGCCCGCAUGCAAAGAAACCCAUCAAACGAGUUUAAUCUCUGUUUUGGGCCAUUUGAGACCGUUAGACUUAAAAUGUUUGGUUUUUCGGACAACAUAGCAAAAACUGUGGCUUUGUGAGAAGACUACUCCGAAAAUCAUGGCUCUGUGAAAUAUACUCAUGUUUUUUUGAUCGGUUUGGUUUUCUCAUGGAGCCCAACCUAGUCCUAUGUUAGGAGUAACGACAAUUGUCGUGCCUCUACUAGUUCUCGUGUCGUCAGUGACUUUCUGAGUCAACCUCAAGACUCCACGACACUUUGCUGUCGAUCCCGGACCGUACGCAACUUCCCAGGCAUCGACCGACCCUAAGAUUUCUCGAGUAGAACCCAAGAGGCUUCUUCCUUAGGUCUGUUCACCUUGAAUUUAUUUAAGCGAAGAUGGAUGAGAGUACAUGACAAAGACCAUGACUAUUUUUGGUGGAAGGAAAAGGAAAGGCAUAGAGAUGAGUACCAAUAACGAGACGCAUGUGGUGACUUCAUUGACCUCAAAGUUUGCCGGCUUGGAUAGAAGUGGGCUGUCCGUAUGUACGUGCUUUCAUAGAGGCGAGCGUACGUGUGACCGUCCGUACCAUGUUUCUCAAAUAAGAAUGUAACACACAAAGCUUUCCACUUGGAGAAAAACAAGUCUGCUUUUGUACAUCAACACAAAUACAUUCAAACGGAUCACAAUUUGAAAUAAACGGCACACGUGAAAGUAUAUAGUUGCUGCAGUGGGAAACAAGAAAUAACUUGAACCGAAGAGCCAAUGAGAUGUGGGUAUUCACGACAACAAAGCAGCAAGAAAACCAUAAAACACAUAGAUCCGGAAGGGAACUACGAUUCAGCAUGGCGGCACGUUGUGUACUCGGAGCGUUGCACGCAACACCAGAUCCUCCUUCCUCUUGGCGACAAUUCCAAAGGCCUCUGUCAUGUCUAAAUCACCAGGAAUGCCGCCAUAGAAAGGAUGAAAUUGCCAAAGUGCCUCAAAAAUGUGCAAAAGUUCACGGGAUGCCUAGCAUCGCUGAGUCGUUUCGUUAGUUGGCUAGGUGAAAAGGCUAUGUCCUUAUACUAGCUGAUGAAGAAAACUGACAAAUUUGUGUGGACGCCACAGGUAGAUAUAGCUUUUCAAGAGCUGAAGAAGAUGAUUGCUACGGCACCGAUAUUAGCCUCGCCAAUGGAGAAGGAGACGAUGUUAUUAUACAUAGCAGCAACCAACCGAGUCGUUAGUGCCGUCAUUGUAGUGGAAAGAGAUGAAGAUGGCAAAUCGGUCCAGAGGCCGGUAUAUUACUUGAGCGAGGUGUUAUCGUCGUCCAAGCAGAAUUAUCCUCAUUAUUAGAAAAUGGCGUACGGCGUUUAUGUGGCGGCAAAGAAGCUAAAGCAUUACUUUGAGGCAUAUCAGAUCCGAGGUAUAUGUGAGGCGCCCGUCUCGGAAAUCAUGAGUAACAAAGACGCGAGCAGCCGAGUCGCAAAAUGGGCUGUCGAGUUGGCACCCUAUGCGCUGCAGUACGACAGACGGGAUGCCGUGAAAUCUCAGGCUUUGGUGGAUAUCUUGGUGGAUUGGGCCGAGAUGGAGUAUGAACCACCGGCCCUGGAAACUAACUACUGGAAAUUACAUUUUGACGGCUCUAAGAUGAAAAGUGGGCUUGGUGCCAGCAUAGUUCUGACCUCGCCAAAGCGCGACCAACUUAAGUACGUAUUGCAAAUUCACUUCGCAACAUUUAACAAUGUUGCCGAGUAUGAGGCACUUGUGCACGGACUAAAAAUGGCGAAAGAAAUUGGAGUUUGCCGGAUUCAGUGCUUUGGUGAUUCCGACCUGGUCGUCCAACAAGCUUCUGGUAAUUAGGAUGUAUUGGAUGCCAACAGGGCGCUAUACCAGUUUCAUGUUCAGAAGAUCGGUGGCCACUUCGAAGGGUGUGAAUUUCACCAUAUACCUCGGGCGGAAAAUGAAGCAGCCGAUACAUUGUCGAAACUCGGCUCGACACGACAGGCUAUUCCAGCUGGGGUGGCAUUAGAGCAUUUACGCAAACUAUCCAUCAAGCCAUCACCAGAGUCGGAGUCGAUAUUUGUCCCGGCAGGUUCAGAGGCCGAUGUUACCCCGAUGGGCAUUGACAGCGGGAAUGGUUCCACUAACCCGGGGACUGAGCGCCUUAAUUCGGCAGAAGCAAUGGCAGUUGAGCCAAUGAAGAUAGACGAGCCGGAUGAGCCAAUCUUCAUCACUCGUCCUGUGCCGGCUUGGGUGCAACCGAUAAUGUCUUACCUCAAAGAUGGGAACCUCCCGGAAGAGGAAGUGUUGGCAAGGCAAAUCCAGAGAAGAGCGAAGGCUUACACCAUCAUCAAUGGUGAGCUCUACAAGAGGAGCGUCACUAACGUCCUACAUCGGUGCGUCGAGCUGGAAGAAGGGCAAGAAAUACUUAGGGAUAUUCAUCAAGGAGAGUGUGGCCAUCACGCGUCUUCGAGAACGCUAGUGGGCAAAGCUUUCUGACAUGGUUUCAACUGGCCGAGUGCACUGCAGGAAGUGGAAGACAUAGUCAGGAAGUGUAACGGCUGCCAGAGAUAUGCCAGCGAUUCAUAUGCCGGUGUCUGAACUCAAAACUAUUCCAAUUACUUGGCCGUUUGCUGUUUGGUGUUUGGAUAUGGUGGGACCGUUCAAGCGGGCGCGAGGAGGCAUGACGCAUAUACUAGGCAUGGUCAACAAGUUCACCAAAUGGAUUGAGGUCAAGCCGAUAAAAAAAAUGUGACGGCAAAACCGCGGUGUCAUUUCUGAAGGAUAUCAUCUUGAGAUAUGGGUACCCGCACAGUAUCAUCACGGAUAAUGGAAUGAACUUCGCGGAGGGACCUUUCAUGAGAUUCUGUGCGGAGAAGAAAAUCCGGCUAGAUGUUGCUUCCGUAGCACAUCCUCGAUCCAAUGGACAAGUUGAAAGAGCAAAUGGCAUGGUUUUAGCCGGCAUAAAACCUCGGCUAAUCGAACCAUUGGAGCAUACUCUGGGAUGCUGACUGGAUGAACUCCCGGCUGUGCUGUGGAGUCUCAGAACGACUCCCAAUCGCUCUACAGGCUACACGCCAUUCUUCCUUGUAUACGGGGCGGAAGCUGUCCUACCAGCCGACAUUGAACAUGACUCUCCACGAGUAACCAUGUAUACGGAGGCCGAGGUAAAAGAGGCCCGAGAAAAUGAUGUCGACCUGCUCGAAGAAGCACGGGAAUUAGCUCUAUCUCGGUCGGCCAUCUAUCAACAACACCUAAGGCGUUAUCACAGCCGAAAGGUCAGCCCGCGAGUAUUCCGGGAAGGAGACCUUGUCCUCUGACUUGUGCAGCGCACAGUCGGCAUGCACAAACUAUCACCUCCAUGGGAAGAACCCUUCGUUGUAAGCAAAGCGCUCCACAAUGAUUCCUACUAUCUUAUAGAUGCACAAGAUCCCAAGGCGAACAUGAUGGACCGGUCAGGUGAGGAGACCAAGAGGCCAUGGAAUGUAGCUUUGUGUCGCACUAGUGGCACCCGGGUUACCACCGCUGCGCGACGCGUGGCCCCCUCCCCCGGGUUCCCGAGAAGGUCUCAUCCCGGGGAGCACCAACGAGCUUCCCGGCAAGCUACCAGCCCGAAAGGGGCUAGCGGGGCUUCCGGGAGUAUUCCCGAUUAGGCACCUCCCGGGAAGCUGCUUCCCGGGAGGGGGUUCCCGGGCGCGCUGGGCCCGGGUGCUUCCCGGGCCGACUUGCGGGGACUGGAGGUUCCCGGACGCGUGCCCCCGCCUCGGGUCGUGGGGCCCACUGGACAGCGCCACACGGGCGCGUGGCGGGCGCGGAACGUGCGGUCCCACCAAGGCAAGGAGUAAGGCGCGCGGCUCAGUAAAUGAGCCGAUCGACGGGUAGUUACCCGUCGGGUCGAAGGAACAGUGGUUGUCCAAUCCUACCCUAGGGUCUUAGGCCCCUAGCAGCGGAGGUGGCACCCAUGCAUGCCACCAGCUCACCAGGGAGAGUUGCGUGCCUCCCCGUUGGACACUUGUAGCCCAUGCACCGUGGCACAUGUGGCAUCCCCUUGUGUAUAAAAGGAGGACCCAUGCCAACGGUCUAGGGGGUUAGAGAGGGUUGACGGGUCAGACAGUUGGAGAGGUUAGUCAGCUGGUCAGUUAGUUGGUUCGGACGAAGCUCGCUCGAUAGACGCUUACUGGCUCCAGUAGGCAGCCAGCAGAGAGUAGUGAGGAGUGCCUAGCCACUGAGAGAAAACCUGGGAGCUUGCCCGGCAACCUGUAAACAUUUGAUCCGUAAUCAAUAUCAGCUCAGACAGGCAGGACGUAGGGUUUUACACCUCCGGGUGGCCCGAACCUGGGUAAAAAACGUGCGUACGUCUGUUCUUGGACUAGCGCGUACCCUUAGCACUUUGCCUCGCCGGCCCUGUAGGGCCUCAUCGGCCGUGCCGGCGAUCAUCUGGUCCCCACCCCAGACGCCCCUACCGAACCUAAAAGGGGGACGUGGUUGCACGCCCCCGGUGUCGGAGCACCGAGCGACGACAGUUUGCUUCGUCCGUUCUAUACUUGAAAAAUGAGUAUUUGUAUCGUUUUUUCCUUAUGAUGAAUGUUUUAAGACAAUGAAAUUAUCCGCCGGGUUCUUAAAAGGAACUCGGAGACUUCCAUAUCAUUUAAGUGCUGUGUUGCAGUUAUUUUUCGUAUGUCGGCGUGGCUUAGUUGCGUGAUCUUAUGUCGAUCUAGUAGUGUGUCGGUGUUGAAAAUCCCUCUAUGACUUCACUACUGUCCGCAACCCGACUUCAUGGCAAGCUGGAGACGGGUAUAAAAUAACCGAACACAUGAAAAACGACUGCGGAAACAAGCAAUGAAGCGAUCCGAGAUACACGUUAUUUUAACUCGGCUUUUUCCUUGUUAACUCGGUUAUUGCCGAGCGAAUUCAUCGAGUUACUUUUUUCGAAAGAGUGGUUUUAUUACUUUGCGAUUCAUACGUCGAACGCCGGCAAGGCAGACAAAAGAACCAAAGUUGUAAAAUUUCACUAAAAAAAAUGAACUCAGGGACUCGGUUGGGAAUUCGAUAAACAAAAAACUUAAUUAAAUUAAAAGCAUAAUACUUGGCAAACAAGAGUAUUUCGGAUUACAUAUGCACCCGGCAUUCCGGGGAUCUGACAAUUCUAAGGUUUUUCUAACUAAGCUAAGAAGAGACGGCGAGGUUGGCGCCGGAGCUCGGCGCAUCAUUCGCGGUGGAGGCCGACUGCACAGCAGCUUUUUCGUCUGCCGCUUCUUCGUUGCCCCCAUCGGUCAUCUCGGCCUCGGUGUCGGAUGUCGGGCCCUCCACAAACGUAUGCACGUUGGCAUACUGGAUGAAGGAGUAGGCCCGCUCCUUGCGCUUCGCCACCAGCUCCGGGUUCGUGAGAUAGCCGACACGCAUCGACUGCAGCACGUCGAGGUUGAUGCCGUCGUACCAUGAUAGUACGAACGACAGUGCCUCGUCGGUGCCGAUGCGUGCGGCCGAUUCCCGCCAGUCGCUCAGCCGGGACUACGUUUCCCGCAAACGCUUCGCCAGAUCCGGGAUCUCCGUCGGAACUUCUUCGCGGGGCCACAGCGCGCGGAAGGUCCGGAGGCCGGCAUCCAACAUGUCGACGUUGAAUGACUUAAGUGGCUUGACCCGGCUCGCAGUGCUCACCAGGUAGUCCACCAAGUCGUACUCCCACGGCUCCCCCGCCGCUGCUGCCGGAUCCCUUUUUUGGCGGGCGAUCCUCAUGGUCUCUUGGGCAUACUCGAGGGAUGAGGGGAAGAACUCUGGCAGAGAAAAAAGAAUGGCAGUAAGUCUCGGCACAUUAUUGCUACUACUCAAACAAGCGAUUGGAUGAAGAAAUUUCAACCAAGAUAACUUACUCGUCAGCAUGUUGUCGAUCUUAAUGAGUUCACGCCGGACGACCUUGAACAGCUCGGUCUUCUCGGCAUCCUCCAACUCGGCCGUAGUGGCGCGGGUCUCGAGUUGAGCAACUAGGGCCUUGCACUUCUUCACCUCACUUUCCAGGCAAAUUUUUUCAUUCGCCUGUGAAGAGAGGGCCGAGGUGAGUUGACUCACCUCGGUUUGGUGCACCUCGGCCUGCGCCGCGAUCUGCGCCUGCAGCCGGGUCACCUCUUCCCGAUGCUGCUCGGCCAGCCGAGUCUUCUCAUCUGUUUAACAAACAUACAGAGACUGACAUCUAAUAUGAAUGGAAACCGCGAUAGGGACGACGAGUUACCUUGGACCUCGGCGACACGCUUCAGCAGCUCCGCUACUUGAGCAUUGUCCCCGGCUAUUAACGAGAGCAAGUGUUAGUCCUUGCAGAACAUUGAUACUCGGACAAAGAUUCUAUUCCGGUAAAAUAUACUUACCCUGGCUUUCGCGCUCAGCUUUCAGCGCCUUGUGCUCCGCCUCCAACUUCUUGUACUUUGCUAGCAAAGUCUUGAAGGUGACGGUGCGCUUAUUCAUGCAGAGCUACAAAACAGUGAUUCACAAUUAAGUUUAUUGCAGCAGGAAAUUAAUGGUUGAAUCUCGGGGAAUAAGUGUUUGAAAUAUUCUAAGCUUCAGGCCGACUAUUCUAAAACCCGGCCUAAAUCUCGGAGAAUAAGUGUUUGAAGUAUUCUAAGCUUCAGGCCGACUAUUCUAAAACCCGGCCUGAAUCUUGGGGAAUAAGUGUUUGAAGUUUCUAAGCUUCAGGCCGACUAUUCUAAUCUCGACCUGAAUCUCGGGGAAUAAGAGUUUGAAGCUUCUAAGCUUUAGGCCGACUGUUCUAAAACCCGGCCUGAAUCUCGGGAAAUAAGGGUUUGAAGUUUCUAAGCUUCAGGCCGACUAUUCUAAAACCAAGCCUGAAUCUUGGGGAAUAAGUGUUUGAAGUUUUAUGAGAUGAGCUUCAGGCCGACUAAUUCUUACUCGCCCUAAACCUCGGGGACUAGGAGUAUGGAUACUAUGCUGAAUUUAGAAGUUAAAGUUUUCUAAGGAAUUCCUCGUACCUCGGUGGCUCGGCCGGUCUCGAACAAAGCCACCCGGGCUUGGUACAUCCGGGCCGAAACCGACUCCGGAGUCGCUGCCGGUGGUGGUCCCACCAAGGGGCUCUGCCAUGCCGACUGCAAGGUGCUGGAGGUCACCUCGUAGUGAUCGGCGUUGUUCCAGUCCAUGACGAACUGGCUCAACGACUCCCAGCUGUGCCCGCUGGUCGUCCGAAGGGGAACCUCCUGCUGCCUGCCGGAAGGCCGCGGGCUAGCGGAACCCGGAGCCGCCGACCCUGCUGCGGUAGCGGGGCCUUUAGCCUUCUUGGCCCAUGUGGCAGCAAGUUGGGCGUCCUCCGGCCGCGACGGAGACGAAGGCGGCUGCGGCCCUUGGGGUUCCUGAGGACCCGUCGCCGACUGUUGCGGCGUCUCCGAGGCUGGUGGCUCCGUCGAUGUCUUGACUGCGGCCGAGGAAGGGGCAGCCUCGGUUGUCGAGACCUCGGCCGCAGGAGUCUUGGUCUGGCCGACGAUCGUGGUGUCGGCGCUUGGGCCGACAUCCCGGGUGGGGGAUGUCGGAUCCGUGGCGGUCUCAGUCUCGCCCGUGGCCGGGUUUGAAGCCUCGGCAUGAGAAGAGGGAGCCGCCGGGAUCUUAGACGCAAUGCACGUUUGAGAUUGCGUGGCUGUCAGAGCCUCCCUGCAGAAGUAAAAGUUGGUUGUUUAACAACAAAGAAGAAAACCGAUAUCAGCGGUUGAAGCAAGAUUGGUCUUACCCAACGAUCAGGGGCUUAGGCUUGGGGCCACGCGCCGCAGUCUUCUUCCGCUUCACGUUCUGGAGAAGAUCCUUCUCGGCGGCACGUUUCUUCGCGAUCGCGCGUCGUUCUUGGGCCAGCGCCGUGGCGGCGGCUGCACCCGAUGCCUCAGCGGCAGGCUCGCCCAGAUCGGCUAAUUCCGGGAUAGAGCAAAAAUAAGUACUUUGCUAACAGAUGGUGAAGAAAUUACGAGAGAAUAACAGAGACCCUUACAUUCGGUACGACGAGGGCCGGCAUGGGGGAUCGGCAUGAAAUCCUCCGAAUCCGGGACCUCAGGGUCAAUGGACCUGCACGGGGCCGCGAAGCGCUUGUCCGAAGAACCCCCAUCUUCCUGUCGCUGAAGGGAGAAUCUCUGCACAAAGAAGUCAGAUUGAGCCGGGAUAAGUGUACAUCAGACAAGUGCCAGCAUAACUAUAUAUCGGAUAUGAACACGAGAUAGGUAAGGGCUAAGGCUUACCGGAGGAGCGCGACGGUCCCGGGCGUAUGCCGGCACACCCCACGACCAUCACUCCGACAUGUUCGUCUUGGCGAUCGCCUUGACCCGACGCCGAACUUCAGCGUGAGAAAACUUGAAGGUUGACACCGUAUCCGGGUCAAACUGGCCGCUGUAGAAACACAUCUUGUGAAUCCGGCACUGGAGCGGGCACAGUCACCGGUAUACGAAAGUGGCCAGCAGAUCGUCGGUCGUCAUCCCUUUGUCCUUGAACUGGAGGAUAGCAGCGUGGAUCUCGGUGACCUCCGGGAAGGUAUCCUUCGGGUCGUAAGACCAGUUUCUCUUUUCCUCCGGGGGGCCGAGUUCGAAUCCCGGCAGAUUGAUCUUGUCGGCCUCCGAGAUGUUUUUGAUAUAGAAAAAGGUUUUGAGCCAUUUUUUGCAUGACUCAAGACUCUGAAUCCUCGGGAAAGCCGAGUUUCGGUGAGGAACGAUGGUGGCGGCACCGCAUUGAGUCAUCGGUUUUGCGGCGCCGGGAUUGUCCUUGUCCGGGAGAACCUGUGGCCGGAACAUGAAGUACCGGGACCACAGGUCGAUGGAGGCCAAAGGCCGAGGUAGCCUUCGCAACAAGUGACAAAUGCCGAAAGAGUGAGGAUGGCAUUCGCCGGAAGGUGGUGCGGCCGGAGGCCAAAGAAAUCAAUGAAAUUCCUAAGGAAAUCGCUGGCAGGAAGAGCGAAGCCGCGUUCAAAGUGCAAAAGAAAAACUACGCACUCACCAGCCUCCGGAGUUUGCAUGAUUUCUCCGCCGGGAACCCGGCACUCGACCUCCUCCGGGAUCCGUCGGGAGCGGCGGAGCCACGCAAUGUCCACCGGAGUCACAUCAGAGCCCUCCCAGGCGGCAUGCUCGGAGCUGGCCCUCUCCUCCGCCUGUUGAGCAAUAGGGUCGACAACGGGGUUGCGGGAAGAAGACGCCAUUGUUGGAGAACAGAUCUAGGGUUUGGAGAUUUGGAGAAAAUGGUGCUUGCGCGAGGCUCGGGCUAGCAAGCUGAUGCGGCGGAGACCCAGAUGGGUGCGAGCGAACCGGCGGCGGCGAGCUUGGAGGCGAGAAACCACGGCGGCGGGCGAGCUCAGUGCUAGCAGUGGCGGCGGAGUGCGCGAGAAGCGAGAAGACAGAGGAAGGAGAAGAGUGCAAGGAGUGCGAAGGGUUUUCUGCCUACGCCCUCCUCCUGUUUUUAUAGCCGUGGCACAGUAAUGGGGUGCGGGUUUCCCGUGCCCACCACCUUAGUGGCUAACGGGAAGAUUGUGCACGAUUUGGGGCAGUUACUCCCAUCAAAGCGCAUGCUUGGUUACUGCGUGGCGUGCUGCCGAGAAUCCCGCAAGAUCCGGGAGGAUAAGUUUCUGCAGGUGUUCCCGCAAGUCCGGCGUAACUCAAGCCUUAUCCUCCCGUUGGUGUAAAGAGUCUAAGUCACAGGUGGCGUCUGUAUCGCAGGAGUAAGUUUUCAACUGUCGGUCAGGGAGAAGAAAGAAUCCCGGCUAAGGGCUGGAUAAGCGCGCCAACCCGGAAUGUCGGAAUAAUUUGAUCUCGGCUAGGAAAACCUGGGGUUGUCUCGGCAUCCCUCUCGGCUGAACCCAAGUAGGCGUUGGUGGUCUGUCUAUGGAAAACUGUCGCGACCCGACAUUCUUCUUCGCCGAACCACAACAGCUUCGGGGACUAGUGUCGGGGGAGUGACCCCGAGUAGGGUCAUGGCGACACAACUCUAGCCGAGAUGACGGAGGUAAAGCCGGCAUAGUUAUGUAUGCCGGCAUCGUAAAGCUAAACUAACGCUAAGCCGGCAUCCCGGGUGUAUGCCGGCAUGGCUAUUUUGUCUUAUGAGUUUGCAGGAUAAGGACGAGCACCUUGAUCUCGGUGAUAGCCGAGAUCUUCCAACGGUCCUAUCCUGACCACGCGGUGCAAAGUAAAGCAAAGUCAUCAUCAUCUCAGAAAAGCAGUCAGCGCCUUCGUACCGACGCCAGACGACUGCAGAGAGGAAGCACCGAAAGAGAAUCUCUGACGGAAGCCGGCAGAGGAUAGCGGUACUUUCUGCGGGGUGACAGGGAAAAGUAAAGUUGUCUUGUCCCCUAUGGUGCUACCGAGAGGGAACCAAGCCGUCAGUGUGACAUGGCUGGCCUAUAAAUAGAACCUCACCCCUCUGUAGAAGGGAGGAGAGAGCACUUAGGCAUUUAGGGUUUUCCCUUUUUCUUCUUCUUUCUCAAGAAUACAGCUCAAGAAGCGCCAUGGUAGGAGCUUGUCUAUCUCGGCUAAUACAACAAAACAGGAGUAUGCGUCUUACCUCGGAAGGAGGGCUCCGUACCUAGGUAAAUCGGUGUGUGUUUGUGAGUUUGUGCAUGUUUCCUUUCACGUCCUCCCUCCUCCACGACAAGAAACGUGGUAACACUCUGUAUCUUCUUUCGAUUCAUGUAAGAGUUCAUAUUUCUUCAUAUGCCCUUUUGUGCCUGCCAGGUCGGGCUGCUGAAGUAAGAGAGGUUGGGAAAAAAAAUCAAGUUUGCCAUAGGGGCUUGAAGGUCAUUUCACAUGGCAUUAUUGGGCUCAGAAAUUGGAUAAUGCUUUAAGUAAAAGAAAAGGGCGUAGUAAAGAGGUGGCAUAUGAUAUAUGGUGGCGUAAAGAUGGGCACACCAUUAAGCUGAAGUAAAAGAGGGCAUAUGAUCAAACCCCCCUGUCGGCUCUACCAGUGCUGCUGCCUUAGCUAGUUCCAGCCUUUUGCGUUCAAUUCUUCGAGAUAACCUGGCACCCAGACAGGGCUUGGGCUCCAGUUUUCUGCCCAAAAGCCCGAAAUAAUAUUUUUAAGAAAAUAGGUAUAAUAAAUCAUUUUAUGCCCCCUAAAAUGAUUAAUUGAAUAGGUUUUAAUGCCAGAAGGAUGUUUUAUCAGGGUCUCGGACUGGGCUGGGCCAGGCUGGGCAUUUUGGUGCCGGGCUUUGUGAAGCCCAGCCCUGCCAGGGGUUUAUCCAGGUAUACUUUUUGUCUCGAUGCUUAUUUGAUAAAGUGCCAUGUAUGCGAUGCAUACUGUUGGUAAAUUUGAACUUGCAUUAUUUCUGCUUGAUGAUUCACCAUGAUGUGUUAUGCAUAUCCAGCUUGAGAUGCAUUGUGAUUAGUACUGCACAGCUCAUUCUAAAUAUGUCCAUUGGUUUGGUAAAUUGAGGAAAAUGAUGGUUCCAUAUGUUUUGAGCAAACAUAAACUACCAGUAGCAUGUGCCAUGUUCAUGGUCCCAUGGCGAUGGAAGUCAGAAUGAUUGUCAAUUGUGAUAUAAACUUUAUAUGAUAAUGCAGUUCUGUUAUCAUCAAAAUAUCCUUAAAUAGACAUGGGAAUGACGUGAGUUAUUUGAGCUUGGUGCUUUUUGCAGUUUAUUUCUUCUCAAUAGUGUGCUCAGAAUUCUGCAUUACAUAUAAAGAAUAUUGCAGAGUUCUAGCAGGAAUUGCUACAGGCAAGAAAAUGAUUAAUGAAGCACAACACACUUAUACUCUUGUCUCAUUAGAUUCAUGAUGGCAAACAUGAAAUAUUUCCGUACAAUAAAAGUUUCAUCAAAUAAUAACUAUACCUAUAAGCAGCUGGAUCUUGUCCUCUUUUCUCAAUUCUUUAUAUGAGAUAGAUAACUCGUGACUCCAGUAUCAGCUUGAAUUUCACUUCCAUAUUAAGUGUCUCUCUCUCUCUAUAAGGAUUGGCUCUGAUGGAAUUAUCUGUUUGUUCCUGUCCUGUAUAUGUUCACCCCGUCUGAAUCAAUGCUUCGGAAUCAUGGGGUGCAAAUGACGGUGGGUGCAACUUUUGGAGAAAUAAUGCACAACCUGCUCGGCCCUUGCAUCGGGGUCCUCCUCCUUGGGGGUAACAUUGCUGAUAUCUUUCUUUGGUAUGUUUUAUCUUCUUUUCUACAUUCACUAAUGCUCGCUCCACGGUGCGUGUCUAAUAGGUAUCCUCCUAUUGUUUUGCAAUUGCUGUGAAGCAACUAUCUGCUGAACUGUGAUGUGCAACUUGAUACAGUAUUGUCCCUGUCCUUAAUAAAUUAAGUGCCAAGCAAGAUUGAUCUGGACAGCAUAUUAUUGCCCUCACAAAUAUGUCUCCGCAGUAAGGCUGCUACUGUAGAAAGAUGGACGCAGAACACACAUUCCUUUUAUGGUGGGAUUUGGCGACACGCGCCUGGGGGCUGGGGCGCUCUUCAUCCAUCAGAGUCUGUGGACACAACACAAGCCUGACAGUUUCGAAGUGGCACUCGCUGGAAGCGAAGAAGCCCAUGCAGGUCUCAUCUCCAUACUGAAUGGUGGUGGCAGGGGAUUAUGCAGGGAAAGCGCCUCAUACAGGCAUGGUUACCUUCUCAUAUCCUCUUGCAUUAUUAUUUCAAUAAAUACCUGAUCAACAUGGCAUUAUUUUGCACAUAGUUAGUUAAUGGCAACAUGACGCUUUAGUUUUGGAGCAAACAACCACAUGAGCUCUGUCAUAACUCAAAAGAACAUCUUUGGUACAUUGGAUAGGAGAAUCAGAGAUGAGAGAACUAAUGAAAGCCACAUGUAUGUUUGUGUCUUGCUAUUAUAAUAUAUUUUCUUGCCCCAAAGCUGAUCACUGAAAUUCUAACCUGUUUUAGGCAACCUUAUUUACCAUUUUGCAAAUAUUUUCUUGAUUUGCUUGUUUGAAUAAGAAUUGAUGUAACUUUGAACAUCCCGGUUCGUAAAACAAGAUUGCAUUGAUCUGACAAGCAUAUUUGAGAAAAGGCAGCAAAAACAUCAGUAAGAUAUGAAAUUAGUUAGCCUAGAGGGAAGGAUGAGGGGGUCCAUUCUAACUAUUGUAUCAUCCAAGUAGACAAAUCAAUGAAGUGAGUAAUUUGUAACAAACAAACAAGAUCAUAUGAAAAUUGAGAUGUUAGCUAUCUACGACCAAACUGUUUUUUAGGCAAUCACCUGAAUUCAUUACUUCAAAGAGAGAGUUUACAAGAGUGAGGAGAGGCAGUCACGAUCAUGCCACAGACCGGUGGCUAUCUUUUGAUCCGUUCAUGCCACAGACCGGUGGCUAUCUUUUGAUCCGUUGAUAAAGACUUUGGCGAUUUUUCCAAAUAUUCCAUACCACUAAAAAGAAUAGCACCGGUUAAAUCCUGAAAUAAUCCAAGAAAUGUGACACCCAUAUGUCAAGUCCAAGAAAUGUGACACCCAUCAUAUGUCAAGUCUAGGACUUGAACCUGGGUGGGCUGAUUCCACCACAAUGAACCAAGCCACCUGAGCUAGGCUCAGUUCACAUCUUUGUAUUGAUUCUGUUUUGGCAAUGUAGCAUCCAAAGAUUUCCACCCGGUUUGGCACCCUAGAGGACCAUACAUGAAGGGUGUGAAGGUCGUCCGGAGCAUGCAACAAAGCCUCGUAAGCUCCUUUAUUGGUGACUGAGAAGCCGUCCAACAGCGAUGGUUUGUCCGGCGGAGGCAGAAGCUGUACCUGCUGCAACAAAGAUCACAAAGAAAAUAGGUCGGCCCAUCCGCUGAGGUUACUCUGUUUCGGAAGCCGAAAUCCAGUCCAUCUUGCAUGAUCUCAGCAACUAGGGCAUGUUGGCAGGGAAUUUAUGGCAAAUUGACCAAAUGAUUUUUUCAAGGUGAAAGCUCUGGUUUAUUAGGAAAGCAAGCGGAGUACAGUAAACCUGCUACUGGACUCUGGCUACCACAAAUAGCAUGCAGCACCUCUGCCAGCUAGAGAUGAUUAUUCAGUUACGCACCUGAAGUCACUCCUUGUCUAUGCCAUAAUAUGUUCCUAGACUUGGUGCUGCAAUCUGCAAUAAUCUUGAGAAUAUGAAGAAAUUGCAUGAAUAUGAAAAUUACAUCUCUUUGAAAAGCUGGAAUGAUGAACAUAGUUGUACAGGGUCCUCAAAGAAACAUAGUUGUAUAUGUCAAGUACCUAACUAACUAAUGGAUUUCAAUUUAACUCGUGUUCUAGUCACCUGCAUAACCUGUACUUUGUCAGCUGUGGAAGAACUAAGACUCCUAGCUCUAGUCCUGUCCGGGGGAUAAGCUUGUGACAGCUCGUGUACCCAGUCCAUACUAUGUCUCUGAGAUGACUACUUCGUUAAAAGUUUGCACAUGCAGUCAGGCCCCAAGAGGCACAUGCAGGGUGCCACAGUUUGAUGAUUGGGUUCUCUCCCAAUCAUUCACUACAUGUUGCGAUUAGUAAAACUGAUCUUUGCUUAGCAUGAGAUAGCCACAAGGGUGGUAUCAGUGAAAGCAUUUACUUCAGUCUAAUCAGGCCAAGCCAGAAGCAACCAAAAGUCCAUUCUCUUGUCUCCUGGAACAUUCAAUUGUUGGACUAGUAUAUUUAUAUAAGGCCAUGCCUUGCAUUUGAGGAUCUGAACUACUGUCCAGCUUUCACUUCUGACUCCGGAUUGGUUCUAGAGAGAUGGGUCUAAAGGUAUACAGUUCGCUCAUGCGGGUAUACAAUUUGUCAGUGUAUACUUUAUGCUGCAAAGUACAGGUCUUUUGCAGUUUAUGCUUCUCUCAAAACCAUGUGUAAGAUUCAAAUCACUGUUCUUUUAUACUUCUAAUGUUGAGUACAUGUUCUUGUGGCACAACCAGGUAUUCUGUUGGCUGAAUCGGAAGAUACAUUCUAAUGUUGAGUACUGCACCAUUGAUGAAAACAAAGGUAAGAAUGUCAGGAGACCUAGCUUUUAUGUGAUCAUAUGUUUCUUUGUCAUCAGCCUUUUCUUUUCUUCUUUUUUAAACGGAACAGCCGUGGAGAAGGAAGACUCUGUGCGUGGGUGUGUGACUGAGCAAGACACUGAAGCCCUGUUGCUCCGUGAUGUACUUCUUGACGGCAUACUUGCGAUUGGCACGCUUGGUUACAAUGUUAAUUCCCUUUAUACUGAGGCCUUCCCUGAACAAGAUGAGUUCGCCAUCGUGGAUAGGGAGGAAGUGGAGGAAGAGAAGCAUGAAGAGGAACAGAGUGGUGCCAUCGAAGACACAUUGGCUACAGCUACAAGCGAACCAGCACCUGCUGUUGAACUUGCUAGGAUGCACUCGUCGUUGAUGAUGAAAGAAUGCAACUUCACGUGUUCUGUUAAGGAAGGAAUACUGGUGCGUGAAGUUGAAGUGGAGGAUGUCACUGAGAUCCAGGAACGACCCCUUCUGAUGGUAGAGAAGGUAGAGAAAGUGAGAACUACACUUGCUGAUCUAUUUGCUGCAGAAUCACUCUCAUCAAGUGAUACUCCUGGGGAGAAGAAUUACCAGAAGGUCGUCGCUGUUGCUGGGGCAUUCACUUCAAGGCCUACAUCCUGCAUGGAAAAUAUGCAUCAAAACAAGCGAACAAAGCCAAAACCAAAGCGACUGGAUGCUACAAGAAAAUUAAGUCGAGUAUGUUUUCUUUGUCUCUAUCUUAUAUGUGUUGCAAUUAUGCUUGCUUUAUACAAAGUUACAAACAUUGACAAUAGUUUUCUGCUCCAACCACCACCUUUAUAUUCACUGACUUGGCAUCAAUCCACAUUACUUAAAGUUCAACAUACAUAAGAGUGAGAAACCCUUAAAUAGUGUUUCAUUUCAUAUAAUUAUACUGUCAGAGCCUUUACUAACUUUGUAGUUUGUACUAAAUCCAAGACACUUAUUAUGGAUCAGAGGGAGUUUUUUCUGUAGACAUCAGUAAGUCCCCCCACAGUACAGCAGUUUGUGAGAACUGUGUUGCCUUAUAUGUGUCAUAAUAAGUCCUGACCUUGUAAAUUCAUGUUGGCUUGUCAUGUUUUACUAUCUCUUACUAGCCUAAAAGUGGUUAAGGCUUACCCUCACUUUACUCCAUGGACAGUCUUUUACCAGAUGGUUACAAUUAGAUUAAGCAUUAUUUAUGCAUCUAACUUGAUAAUAAAUGAUCGCUUACCUGCCAUCAUUUGUUGGUAUUGGCUGUCUUUCAAAAUAAGUAGGUCAUGAGAAAGAUGUUGGGGAAGAAGAUCCACCCAGAUCAGCUCAAUGGAUGCAGCGAUGCAGAGGGUUCUCUGAUCACUGCAUGACGCCUAGGCUCGCGGACAAAUUUGAUUCUCUCUGGUAAUUUACUGCCUGGAGUUUACCUUUUCAUCUGCCCUUUGAAUUAUAUAGAAACUCUAAACCGAGCUCAAGGGUUAUCAAAUCAACAUGCCUAGGUGUCUUGAACGGUUAUGUACCGUUUCAAGGUUUCUUGGAUUUUCUUCCUUGGAUCCAGUUUAUUUAUUGUAUAUUGAUUUAUGCUAUUUCACUGGGAAUAGAACAUGUGCAUUUUGUCAACUUCAGUAAGGUGAUUGAAAUAGACGUAGGGACUAGGGAGUACACAGAAGUCAUUGCCUAUAUCAGGUUGUUCCAGUGUCAGUGAAAAGAAGCAAUACUGUGGGAAAAACAUAUCUUGACAAAAAUAAUCCUGCCAUUAAACUGAUGAUAGUUUAGGUAGAAAGACCGAUGUAAUUAAGUUUGAGUGCUUUCUAUUGUUUUUGAAACAGAGGCAAAAGCUUUGCCUCGUCUCAUUGAUUAAGAAGUUCUGACGUCCGGUUAGUUAACUGAAAACAGUCAAAAACUGAUACAGCACUCCUAUGAGCCAUCAUGUUCCACGACAGCAAUGGUGAUGUCCUUGAUAUAAAUUACUUUUUCUAUGUAUCAUUGUAUCUCUGAAUCCUAUGGUGGAACGUACUGCCUUUGGUGGGAAGAAUGACACGAGUUGAAGUGUUGAACACACCUGGGAACACAAGUGAUAAUACGAAUGAAUUUCUGCUGCUAGAAACUAGAGAUCGUGGGGUCGGACCAACAGGGAUUUCCCUACGCCAUGCUGCCAUAUCAUGAAGCUUCGUUGGACCGAAAUGAGCACAUAGUCACGGGCCCAUGCGCAAAGCAUUAAUCAAUGCGAUUGCAACAGCGCAGGCAUGUGCUGAAAAACGCUAGCAGACAAUUAAGGCUACAAUUAAGCAACUAAAAUCACCUGUUUGAUGAGUCUGUCCUGCAACAGUUAAUUUCCUGAAAUCUUAACAAGCUGAUGGAUUCGUUCCCAACCGUGUGGGCUGCUAUAUGAUGGCCAAAUUAGCAAACUUUUUCACCAUGUAUAAACUUCUUGAGCAUGUUCUCUAUCCAUCUAGUUGAAGUUUUAUAGAGUUUGAAGUUAACACAAAAGCUUUGUCCUUUUUUGUUAAGUUAUACAAAAUUUAAUUAAUUGUAUGUAUUUUAUGCAUCAUGGGCAUUUAUCUAAGGGGAGCAACAUGCUAAGUUGUAUAAAUGUUGAAGUUAAACACAAUAGCUUUGCCUUUUUUUUUGUUAACUUGUACUACAUAAUUAAUUAAUUGUAUGUAUUUUGUGCAUGCAUCAGGGGCAUCUAUCUAAAAGGGGAGCAACAUGCUAAGUUGCACACCAAAGCCAUGCAUGCUGCCCAUUCUUGAGCACAAAACGUGCAACACAGUGUUAGUCGGCAUUACGUCCCCAUCCCAUAGGCUUAACAGAAAUGAUUUUGCCUUUGCAGGAUCCCUAUACAUGCUUCGGAUUCCUUUGCUUGAGAGAAAGAUCCAACAGCCUCCAUGCUUCUUGUCUGCUGGCCAGCGAUGAAGAUAAUAUGUAUGUUGAGUUGCAUGCCCCGUCAGAUGUACUCUACAGUUGGUGUAUCGAUCCUGCAAUAUGUUAUGUAGUCAAGGUGUCCUGCAACAUGUCCCCGUACUGUUUUGGCCAGUGUUGUAUCAUUUGCCGACUGUGUUUAAUAAUAAAACAAAACUUACGCUUUGCUUUUGUCCACUCGUAUGCAUUGCACCGCGGUGUAACUGUCCCAUUGCGAUAGGUCGGCACCACCAGGCUUCGCUGCUCUGUAUUGUUUUAUGCUUGAUAUUGUAAACAUUGGCAGAUUUUUUUUAUAAAAUUGAUGAGACUUUAUAUCUUUCUGAUUUAGGAAAAAGAUACUCUUUCUGUACCGAAAUAAGUGUUGUGGAUUUCGGACGGAGGAAGUAGAACAUUUUAUAUCUAGGAACGGCGAUAGCAGACUUGAUUGAAGUUUCAGGACUAGUUCAUUUUAUAAACACAAUGGUAAAAUAAAAGUUUAAAUUGUACUCCUAGUUUGAACCAAAGCAAAAAAUUAAAUUCCAAACUUGAUCACUUUGGUGAGGUUACCGAGGCCGCCUUCUUUUCAGCUUUUGGAUAGCUUCGAAGUCUCAGGAAGCCACCGGCUGAAAAGAAGGCAAAACUUUUUGGACGCUUAAUCCCUAGCUGCUGCAGCUUCUCGCAGUACAAAAUGAGAAGACCAGCUUCUCGGGUUUCUCCACAUUCCAAAGGAAAAAAAAACCGCACCCGCACCCUAGCCUCGAGCCCUCAACCGCCGUGACCCGCACCCAUCUCUCCCUCUGAUUUUCCCUCCCGCUAGGGUUCUCGGGCGAUGAGGGGCGCGUGGCCGCUCCCUCCCAUCGCUCACGGGAACCUGCCAUCGCCGCGGGUUCCUGUCGCCGUCGUCGCCCAACGGUGAUGCACGAUGACAACUUGGUCGAGGAACUCGUUAGGUUAUAUCCGAGUCAACAAAAUUGCUUUAAAAAAAGUAGAGUAAUUCAUUAGGUAGCUUAGCUACGUGCUAACCCUCUUGUCUAGUUCCAUCCUUUUUAGCAUCUUCCAAAAUCCAACUCAAAAAGAUCAGAGCUAGAAUCAGUAGUGUCCGAACCACGAUCAUGGCCGCCUCCCACCUGAUGACAAUCACUUGACGACGACGAUGCUGCUGCAUCAUCUUCAAAAAUCUUGCAGUCAUGGAGAAAGAGACGGCGCUCCUCCUCCUCCUCCCAAGCACCACCGCACCUCACCACCCACCUCUCCUCGACGUCGCCAUUGACGACCCGAACACCCCGCAGCCUCCUAUCGCCCACCACCACGCCCAAAUCAUGUACUCCUACUCCGGCGAAAGCAUGAUCAGCCGUUGGAACAACAACAUCACUGCAGAUGCUAUUGCUCCCACGCGAGGCGCUCGUCGACGAUGAGGCGGCCGGCUGCAGAUUCUUCUUGCGAAAGCUCACCGCCGGCGACACAAAGAAGGCGGCGGCGAGGUUGCUCUUAUUAGGCCGAGCUUGAGCUUCUAGCUCCUGCUGUAAUGUGCCGCGGUGGCCUUUUUUCUCCCUUCUCGCGGCGACCGGGCCGGCGAAGUAGCGCGUAGCACCGAACACGUCGAGCUCGCCGGACCUUGCGCGGCGCUGCAUUAUGAAUUGAGAUGUUUGAGAGCCAAGAAGAAGAAGAAGUAGUUCGUGACUUCGUGUUUGGGUGUUACUACGUACUAGGUGCAGGGGUAAAUAUAUAUCCGGAUAUCGAUGUACUAUGUUGGUGGAUUAAUUAAUCCCAUGGCUCAGAGAGGGAAAAUUAAGGAGUUAGCUUAAUGCGGCACAGGAGGCGACACGCUUCAGCUACUACAUCCAUUCCAGCCGUGUCAUUUGGCAAGAAAGGAAUAUAUGCAUGGGUCUAUAGUGAUGAAUGAAAGUGGAGUUCUUCCAAUUAUCUCAUCAAUGUUGUAGGGGGAAUAACUAUGUUGGAGUCGAUAUCUAAUAUGAAUACGGAUGUUGAUCGGUGUGGGUGACAGGGACGAAGCGAAUAAAGUGCUAGCAGUUAACGGAUUUUCGGUGGAUGUAUAUCUCUUGAGAAACUGAAUUUGUUUACGACCAACAUAUAUAAUUAACACGGAUCAGCUGAUUUCAUUCCGGCUGUCAGGCACACGUACUCUUCGUGUGAGUGUGCCUCGCUGUCGGGCGCGUGCAUGCCGAACGACACCACAGCUUUUAAAAAAAAACAUAUGGCUUUAUUCAACAAACAAAGUACGAGUGCCGUGAAACUGCAAGUGCCGUCGUCGGGGAAGUCGAAAGCAUAUAUUAGGCUAAUGGGCCGGGUCAUGUCGGGUCUGAAGAAAAUAUGGAAGUGAACCUGGCAUUUUUGUCACGUCGCAUCUGACAUGCAGGUCCGCAUGUUUGGAUUCUAUGUGAAACGUUCUAAACCGGUAGGUUUGAUUUAUUUGAGAACACCUGCCUCAAGAGUGGUGGUUACGUGGAAAUAUUAGGGUCGAGUGCGGCUCUGUAAAACAUCAACAACAAAAUGUGCGCCAUUGCCCCGUCCUUUCUUACUGUCGGUAGACUCUCUUCUUUCCCUGUGGGACACACCAAUGUGUCAGUGUCAUCAGGGAUGCAGUAAACGACAUCUUCCCCGUUUCUUAAUUACCAUGGUGGGACCCACCACUUGCCAUGUCAGCAACUCCACGGGAAUAAACUUUCUAUUCCAAUUUUGGUAAAUCCCCUUCUCAUCCGGCUACCACCGCCAUCCUCGAUCUCCACCUCCCUCGCUCACCUCAUUAGCGCGUGCGUAUUUCGCCCCUAUCUUGCCCGAUCACUUCUUAAAAAAAAA
This 57459-nucleotide long non-coding RNA is filed under the name Brachypodium distachyon (stiff brome). RNAcentral describes it as "long non-coding RNA (BDIS_LNC003064)". The record is from RNAcentral. Lineage: Eukaryota; Viridiplantae; Streptophyta; Magnoliopsida; Poales; Poaceae.